Molecule: long non-coding RNA, 49302 nt
Filed under: Theobroma cacao (cacao)
Lineage: Eukaryota; Viridiplantae; Streptophyta; Magnoliopsida; Malvales; Malvaceae
Description: long non-coding RNA (TCAC_LNC000884)
Source: RNAcentral
GCCGACCAAAGCAAAGAACAAAGAGAAAAGAAUAGAAACAAACCCUAGAGAGGAAAAUUCAAGAGAAAUUUGUUGAAUUUCAAAGAACAAAGCAAUCAAAGGUAAGAUUUUUUAAUUUUAGCUUAAAAUCUACCUUUCCCAUGCUUUCUUUUUCAUUUUCUAUGGUUGAAACACAAGUUUCCAUGAGGGAAUUCUUGCUGGCCAAACAUUGGGAGAAAGGUUUUGAUGAUGGAUUUUGCUAGAUUUCAUGAUAUCUUAGUGUUUUUAGUUGUUUGAUGAUGUUUGGCAUGAAAAACAAGCAAGAAAAUCACAUGCCCUUCAACAACCCUCUUUGGUCGAAUGUUAUAGGUGACAUGUUGAUGAUGGAUUUUGUUGUAUUUCAUGUUAUUUAGCUCGUAAUUGAAGAAUAAUGGUAUUGGAUAUCAAAAACGGUUAUCGAAAAGUAUAGUUCCUUUAGUAAACGACUUGAACAAUAAUGAGAAAAUCAUAGUGAAUGGACUUGGAUUUCAUUCUUAAUGAUAUAGAUGGAUUUAUUGGACUGUGUUAACACUGAUUAGCACGUUAGUUCGGAAUCGAAAUGAAUUUCGAUUACAAUGAAUUAAGUCACAAUCAAGCUCAUUGAGGUACUUUGGUGUAUUUGGAAUAUUGAAAGUGUAAUGAAUAUAUUUGAAGUUGAAUCGGAUGUUUUGGUUAAUUCAACAGUGUAUAGUUCGAGUUAGGUCGAAUACAAAUUCAGUCCUAUCAUAAUUGAACCCACGUAGAACACCGUAUUUAAGUGAUUAGUCGAACAAUUUUUAUUCAAUUUCAUGCAUUCAGAUAGAGCUUGAAAUAGUUUUAUAACAGUUUGGCAUAAAUAUAUUGAAUUACGUGUCAUGUAUUAUGUAUAGAUGGUGAGCCCUCUGAUAAGGGUAAAGAUAUCGUACUCGAGGACCAAGAAUAGGAGUACUCCAAACUCCCGUUAUUAUGAGUAAUCAAAUGAUCAUCUUAACUAUCUAAAGUAGUUUAUACUAGUUUUUAUGAUUUUAAAGAAUAAUGAACUUAAAUUGUAAACUAUUAUGUUUUAUAAGUUAAGUGUUGGUUAAAUGAACGAGAUUUAUAAAUUAUUUUGCAAUUCAACGACGAUUUUGGAAAUUGAGUAGGUGGAGACUAUAUACUUGUGUUAUCUAUAUAUAUAUAUGGUUUGAAUUGAUGGCUUAUGACAAUGUGAUAGCAUGAAUGGCUGGAUUUGUGGUUUGUGGAUUAUAUAAACUCUUUUGUUUUACCUUGACAGGCUGGGUAAUAUUAUAUUAGCCAUGUCAUGCUGUCAAAAUUUUUAUUGAUUUGGUGGGUUAUUUGAUUAGCUUACUACAGUGGGCGGGUUUUCGUAGACUAGCCUAUUAGAGGGGCAUGGUAAACCCCGUUAUAUUUUACCUUAGUACGAGAAGUGCGAAGGGUAUCUCCUAAGGUAAGUUUAGAGUUCACUUCACGCCGAACCACCACGUGAGGAUGAAACUCAACCAACGCUAAGGAAUGGCUAUAUUUUAAAAGUAAAAACAUGUUUUAUGGGUAUAUGUCGUUUUAACAUCCUUGGCAGACUCGGUUGGAUGCCUGGGCCAAGGUGUCACCUAGUAUGUGUUUUGGCACAAGCCAACUUUUUAAGAGAAUCAUAAGCCUUGUUGAUUAUUUCGAUGAAAUGUAAUUGUUUUAUAUGAAUUGAAAUGAGUUUUAAAUGUUAUGAAUCAUAUUAUGAUGGGAUGACUUAACUGUCUCCAUUUACUCGACUUUAGAUGUUGUAGAUGAACUUUGCUUACUCACUGGGUUUAUAAAAACUCACCUUUUUUUUUACCCAUUUCAGGCUUAGGACAGUCUGUAGACAGUCGAUUUUGUCGAGGGUUGCUUUUGGAUUUGCAUCCUUAGAAAUCGAAGGUCUAAAGUCUUGUAUGUUUUCGAUUAUUUUGGGGCCCACAUGUCAUUGUAGAAUAUUUUUGUAUACCUGGUUUAGUGUGCUAUUAUAUAUAUGAAUUUAUUUUGCUCUUACGCUAUAAAAAUUGUUUAUGCUGGAUUCUAUAAAUAUUGUUUUAUAAGAAAAUAAAAUAUUUUAUUUAGUUUGAUUAGCCAUAGUUUCAUUUGAAAUGGAUGAUCUAGAUUACUAAAAUUAUUUUUAGAUAAGAAAUACAUAUUUUUCAAUCGUAUAUUGUAUUUUCACCAGGUUUCAAAAUUUUUGGAUAAAAAUGACCAAAAUACCCCUAUGUAGCAGAAAUUAUUUUUUGUUUGUUUUUGAUUUAAAAAUAGUUUAUUUUCCUUUAAAACAUGAUAUUUAGUAACUGUUGCUCCCAAGAGAGACAUAAAAUUGAUGUAAGAGCCUUGCGAGGUUUCGGUUGACAUUUCGGGUAAUGAAUGUCUAUCGAGACAUCACGGCAGUUGUUACGGGCUCGAAGGGAGUAUCGGGUCAUGACAAACUAUUUCGCUAAUAGGCAUUUUUUCACUCUCUUCAACUUAAGCCACCUCCCUCACAUUUUCUCUCAACCUACAGUAAUUCUUUUACUCGCUUUCACAAAAAAUCAUAAUUUUUGUAUUUGAAGUUUGGUUUUGGGUUUGAACUAACUGAGGUAAAGUUUUCCAACUUUAAAGCUUUUAGACACUUGAUUUUUAAUAUUGAUUUCAACCUUCUUAAUAGAUUUUGUGUUUUCUCAAAGAGGUUAAGACUUUUCAAAGGUUUUACUCACUAGUGGCUCACCAAGGUAAGGAAGAAUUAAAGAUUUAAGUGUUUAUUUCACUAGUUAGUUGAUAAAUAGUAGAUUUAAGCUAGGAGAAAUUAGUUUUAGGCAAACUCAACUAGUUUUAAAAUAAUGUAGAUGAUUUCUACAUGAUUUAUAGUUUAAGUAAUGUUUAUGACAAUUGUUGAACACUUUAUGUGCUGUCAAAACUCCAAGGAAUUCACUGAAGUGAAGUGUCACAUAUUGGUAGAGGUAGAGUAUUUGAAGGUGAAUGAAUACACAUUUUUAAGUAUUUUAAUAUGUAAAGUGAAGCAUGAUUUUAUGGAGUUAUUUGAUUUUCAUGAUUUAAAAUGCUAUGAUUAUAACUACAAAAUUUAACUGAACUUAAUAGUUUAGAAAGAGUUUUCAAAUCUAUUAUGUAUGUAAAUAUCUAUAUUACGUAUUAGUUUUCAAUAAGGGAGAACAUGUCUUUUCAAUUGGUCUCCUUCAAAAUAAAAUCAUGUGCUAUGAUUGUAUGCAAAUCGAUGCAUGCUUAGAUGAAUUUUAUGGUGGAUGUAGUCAUUCCCACCCAAGUGGAAAUGAGUUGACCAUGUUAUGUGAACAUGUGUAUGAAAUGAUUGACUAUGAGUUGAUAUAAAAUGAUUAUGGGACCUAUUAAGGGAUUAUUAUGUGAUGAAGGUCGAGAGACCAUAAUCUUGACUACAUGUUUUGUUGUUAAUUGAAGAUAAACUUGAUGGUAUGAAUGAUAUCAAAUCUCUAAGUGUUAUGACGAAUAUGAUAAGGCCAUUAAGUGGGUCUAAUAGUACUACUAAAAGUCUAAGAUAUUGCCAAUAAGUGGGGCAAAAAUACGAUCAACAUAUAGCCUAAGUGGAGUGCAUGUACCAUUAGAUUAUUUACCAAUGAGUGGGGUAGAUGUACUACUAAAUUAUUUGCCAAUGAGUGAGGUGGAUGUACCACUAGAUUAUUUGCCAAUGAGUGGCGAAACGUACUGCUAGAUUGUUUGCCAAUAAGUGGGGAGGAAAUACCACCAUCAUAUAGCUUAAGUAGGGCGAAAGUACUACCAUAUUUUUUGCCAUUAAGUAGGGUAGAAAUACCACUAGUACUAUGUUGAUAUCGUAGAUAAAUCUAUGAUAUAGUUGAGUAAUUGUUAUUGAAACUUAUGGAUAGAUGUUACAUUUUUUAUGUAAGCAUGAGAAUUAUGAGUUUAUAUAGACAUAGAGGCAAGAAAUAUGUUUACUAUUGAGCAUGAAUUAUGAAUAGUGAUGAUGUUAUGAGAUGAAAGUGCCGUAGGGAGGAAAUAAGCUAGAAAAUGGCCAAAAUCUGAGUUUUUAUUAAUGAAGUAUUGAUACUUAAAGGAUAGUAUGCCUUAGGAAGCAUUAUGUGGUGAAAUUAUCGAUACCUACAAUCUAGAGAGCCUUUUGGAGUAAAAGUAUGGAUACCUCCCAAGGAAGUAUCGAUACCUAAGGUGUAGAACAAUAUGUUUACUCUUUGUUCACAAGGUUUUCAACCUCCGUUUAUCUCUAAAUAUUUAUGCACCUUUAGAUUUAACUAAUCUUUCAUGAAAAAGGCUUUGUCCAACAUCAUUUCCAAAUAUGUGAAGGAAACAUAUGAAAUUUAGCAAUUUCCAUGAUUAUACAAAUGAUGAUUUAUGCGAAAGCUCUUUUCUUUUGACUUGUCUCUUUCCUGUAUUCACUCAUGGAGCAUUUGUGACUUACUCCUCAAUUUUCCCAUGUUUUUUUAUCGAUCAAAGAUUAGCUUGCUACCUUUGUCAUGAAGAAAAGCUUCUAUUUUUUCUUUGGCAAGUGUUCUAAAAGCCCACUUGAAGCCUAAAAGGUGGGGAUAUGUUUCGUUGACGAGUCGAUUUUAUGUUAUGUUCAGUUAUUGUUGGAUAUUUUUAUGGUUGUGUAGCCACUAAAUAGCACCAUAUUUUACAAUUUUUGACAAAUGAAUUUUAUGUGAUAGCUUGAGAGCCUAAAUGAGCACCUAGUGUGCAUACACAUAUUUGUAUGAUAUGAGACAUGGGUUUAAAUGUUCUAUAAAUGAUGAUGUUUGAAAGAAUACAUUUUCACACUUAUGAUGUGAGUUCCAUAUUGUGUGAUGGCUCAGACACUUGAUUAUAAUAUGUUUUAUAUGUUUAUAUGAAUCAAUUGUUUGAUAAACUAAAUGUAAUCAAUGAUUAAGAGAUUUUCUUGGGCUCAGUAGGUCAUACUCACUUAGGUCUUUGCACCAGUCAUGUCCUUUGAUUCAGGAUGUGAUACAAUUCUUUUUGUAACUAAAGUUUAUAUUUUUGUAAGUGAAGUUCAUCUUUUUGUAACUAAAGUUGAUAAUUUUGUAAUUAGUUUGUAACUUUAACCAAAUUGUUACAUUUUCUCGGUUCCUAGUACAAAUGGGAAGUUAAUACAAUAAUGUCAUUUAAUGAUAUAUUUUUUCUUGGAUUGCAUAAGUAGAUCAACAAAACAAAAUGUUAGUGUAGAAGUCUCAAUAACAAUAUACCAAGAGGGGGUAAAUUGGUAUAUUUAUAAAAAUUAAAAAAUUAUAUUUAUCAAAGUCAAAACCUUUUUACCAAAAAAUAUUUUCUAACACUAAAAGCAAAUAUCUAAUAAUAAAUCACUAAGUAUAAAUAUAAUGAAUCAAGCAAAAAUAUUUUUCUAAGAGAAAAUCAACAAAUCAAUACAAAUCUAUUUUCUAUGGCAAGUAUAAACAAUAAAUAAUGAUACAAAUACUAAAGAGAGACACAAAUAAUUUAUAGUGGUUUGGCCUUUUGGAUGCCUACAUCCACUCUCUUGGUAAUCAAGGAACUUCAAUCCACUAUCAAGAAUUCUUGCUUUCUAAUGGGAAGUGAUAACCCUUACACAAUCCAUAAAGGGAUUUUUGCUUUUUCAUGGGAUCAAGUGAUAACCUUUACAAUCCAUAAAAAGAUUCUUGCUUUUUACGAGAUCUAACGGUAACCCACACAAUCCACAAAAGAUUCUUACUUUUCUAUAGGAAGCGAUAACCUUUACAAGAUAACUUUUCAAGAUUAAGCUAAAACCUUCACAAUGGAGUACAAAUGUCAGCUAAAAAAUGCCUCUACAAAGGUUAAGUGCUGAGAUUUUAAGCUUGUUUGUAGUGAGAGAAGAAAUUUUAGCUUGAAUGAAGCAAGGAUCCAACUUUGAAAGCUUGAUGGAAGAUUAAAAAUAUGCUAGAGAGUGAAGAUGAGCUUGUGGGUAGUCUCUCUGGGGUUUGACACUUUAUCUCAAGUCUUUUUUUUUUACUUUAAAAUGGCUCAAAUGCGUCUAUUUAUAGCUAGAGCAUGAUUUGGAGCCGUUAGACACAAGUUUGAAUUAAAUCUGGCAAUUAUUAAAGCUUGAAAGUCCAAUUAUAACACUUUCAGGGUCAAUUAUGUUUUUCAAAUUUUCUCAAUUAGGGCUUCCAUAAUCGAGAACAUAAGUUUUCUAGUUGAUCCAUUUCCAAAGAGCAUGUAUUUUGCAAAUUUGGCCUUCUAUAGUCAACUAUGCCUCUUAUUGUCGACUAUGGCUUCUUAAAGUUGACUUUUUCUAGCCUUUGACUUGUCAUGGUUAACUAUGCCUCUUCUAUAGUUGACUAUAGCUGUUCUUCAACUUUAUUUUCUUGGUCUUUUUGGAGCAAGGUAGACUAUGCUUCCUUUGUAGUUGACUAUAAUUGUUCUAAACUUGAUUUUCUUGAUCUUUCUAGAACAAGGUCGACUGUGCUUCCUCUCUAGUCAACUAGGGCUUUAUGAUCUUCAAGUUUUGCACUCUGUUAACCUUUGGAUCAACUCGAGCUUCUCUAUAAUGGACUCUUGACUUGUGUCUUGAAGUUUGUUCAACUUUUUGAUGCUUCUUUCCAAGUACUUUCUCAUUGCCUUGUACUUAUAUUCAAGUAAACAAGUCAAGGCUUGUUUACUCUUGAUUUCUUAGUUGAAAAUGCUACGUUUGAAAGCUUCUCAGAUGUUUUCUAAAGAUUCAUGGCUUUUCAAACAAUUUUUGUAACCUUAAAGGAUUAAAAAAGUAAUUGAGACAAUUUCAAAUGUUUGAGAUUAAAUUCAUAAAGACAUGUGAUUUUUGUCAAAUCAAAACAUAAUGUAAUUUCAAGUCUAACAAUCUCCCCCUUUUUAAUAUGACAAAAACAUGAGCAAUUUACAUUUGAAAUUUCUUGAAAACUCUUUCUAGCUUAAUUAGUCUCUAUGUCCUUAAAAACAUUUAAGUAUAAAUGAGAAGGAUAUAGGAAUUGAGUAUGAACUUUUAAAAAGAUUCUCCCUUUCAAUACAUGCAUGAAGUUCAAAAAUGUUUUCAAAGUAAUUCAGCUAAUGUAAGAUCAUUUCAGUGUGCUCAUUAUCCUUUUCCUUCUUUUUGUUAUAUCAAAAGGCAGAGAAGUGUGGGCUUUAAGCACUUAAACUCAAGAGACAAUAGGUAGUGAUAAUCAUCAAUUAUAGAUAAGCAUUAAAGUCAAUAAUGAUUUAUAACCAUCAAAUCAAAACAAUGAGAUAUAUUUCUCCUCAAAUAUUCAAUUAAUAGAUCAAGAAAUAUAUUCAACAUUGCAAUCAAGACACAUAUAGAUAUUCUCAACUAAGAUAUAUUUCCAUGUAAGAUAUUCAAUUAAGAAAUUAUGGAAUAUAUCAUAAAUUGAUCAACCAAGGAUGCCACAAACUCACAUAGAUAUAAUCAAAAUGAUGUGGUCAUUACAUCUUUUAGGUGCAUGAAUGUGAAAAAUAUAAACAUAUAUAAUUAAAUACCUCAUUGCACAACCAUAAGUAUUAACAAGAUGAUAAUAAGAUGUAUGAGUGGGUGAAGUGCAAGUCAUCCCAGCUAGUGUCCUUUUUUAAAUAGGAGUUGUGCAAGAUAAGUCUUUAAGUUCUCUUGAUGUUAGAGUAUGCCUUGGAUUUGCUUGCCAAAGUUGUCAAAUUGUGCAACAACGACAUCAAGUUGCUUUGAGUUUUCAACCAAUGUGGUCAUAAUAGCCUCAAGUUUUGUAUUAAUGUUUGAAGCAUUGAUGGCAUAGUGUUGGAGGAUGGUUCAGUUGAAGUUGGUGAAGGAGCAUUCAUCUUCAUUGUCACCAUCAUCAUCACCUUCUUGACAAUCUCUCUUAUGUACCCAAGUUCCUAUAUCAACAUUUUCUAUAUAACCCAUUUAACCUAUCGUAAUCCUGUCAAGAUGUUUGAUCUUGGGUUGAGAAGUAGCAUUGUCCAUGGAAGAGACAUCAAUGUUGAAAUGAGCUAGUAUUUGAGUGAUGACUUGGCCAUACAUAAGACUAGACUUAGUUCCUAUCACAACUUUCCUUAUAUAUGAAAUAUGAAAUGAGCCAAAUUUAUAGGAGUUGAAGCUUGAUGUGAUGUAUGAACCAUAAAUCCUCCCUAGAAACUGCUGAGUGCUUGCUUGGUAUUGGCCUCAAAGUCUAACUAAUAAUUAAAUGUAAUAUUCUGUCCAUCAUGGAUAAUCUAGCACAUGAAUUAGGGGCACCCACAUUGUUGACAUAAAGUUCUCUUUCUAAAUCUUGCCCUGAUAAAUUAUCACUAGUGUAGGUCAUAGCAUCAUGUGCACAUUGUAAGUUAAAAACUUUCGUAAUCAACUCUGGUGUUAUCUUAAGUAUUCUACCCAUGAUGUAAGUAGUGAAUGCAUUUUCAUAAGUUCUGACCUCAUUGUCUUCAUCUUUAUAUCCUGCACUAACAUUACUAUAGAAUACUCCAACAAACUUCUCAUAAACAGGAAUAUACAGUCUUAAGUAAUUAUACCAUCCCAAAACUUUAAAAUUUGCAACAUAAGGAAAACCUAGCUCUUCAAGACAAUCAAGAUAAAUUAUCGGACCAUAGUAGACUUUUCUUGAAACAAAUCCAUUUCAAUAUCUUUCAAAGGCAGUUAAGUUAGCAAAGUUUAGCACUUGAAAUUGAUUUGCACUUGAGGAGCUUGUUUGACGAGCAGAAACGUUUUGACUUUUUAGUAGUGCCAUUGAGAUAAACUUUGAAGUAAUGACCAACUGAAGAGUAAAAAGACUCAGCUGUGAAGAGUUUUUGGGUGCUAGACUAUGCACUGUAGAAGUGAUUUUCUAGAUUUUAGGAGGAUUUAGUUUUGAAGCAAAGUUCCCUAUUUAUAGUGAAUGAAGGUUGGGAGGUUUUAAUGGACACUAUGAAUCUAGAGGACCUAAAGAAGGUGAGCCUAAAAGCAGGAAUGAAUUUGGAAGAAAACAUGAGUAUGGAAGAGUGAAGAAUUUAAGGAAUUUAAGAAACCAACAAGUAUGGUUGACUGUACAUGGGCUAUAACCGAUUAUGGUUUUUCAAAAAUGCAUGUUUAGACUACUUAAGUGCUCGGGUUGGUUGAUCUUCUUAAUCAUUUAAUUGACUAUGUCUUUUCUAAAACACGUUUCCAAGCACUUUUGAUUUGAAUCUAGUUUACUUAUUUACAAGAUUAGUCGACUAUGUCUUCUUAAAUUUGUUUGGAAGAAUUUAUUUUUGGCUUUCAAAACAUACUUAAAUAAACCUUGGCUUUGGAAGAAAGCUUGGAGACUAUUUUGAAAGGAAGUGUACAUUAGUUCAAGAGUUUAUUUUCAAGAAAUCAUUUGUCACAAAUGAAGCCUUAUAUUUUGAAAAAUCAAAAGUAAUUUUCUUGAACUUGUGAAGGUGUAUAUGCAUAUAUAUAUAUAUAUAUAUAUAUAUAUAUAGGAUGAAGGCCUUAGUGUUGGAUGACUUAUGUGCAUAGUGUAUGCAUGUAUGAUAUGAACAAUGUGUGAUGCAGCAUGCCACAAUUAAAUGUACAAUCAUAUAUUCACAUAAAUAUUUAUGCAAAUGAUCAACAAACUAUUCUAAUUUCAAAAAUAAAAAAUAUUUUGACUAUAGUGAGGAGCAUAUAAUGAUUCUAUGUUUCAAUCAAUUAAGCAUAAGAUUAAUAUGGUGUUUAAGGGGUAUUACCAAUAAUGUAGAACACCAUUUGUUGAGAUCUCACCAAGCUCAUUGUUGAAGAUUUCAAGUGCUCAAUCUCUUUCUUGUGCUAUUAACUUAGAACAUGCAUGCUCCUCCUAUAAAAUGAAAACUUGAACAUUUGUUUUUGGUACCCAAAUUCUUUUGGGUCUUUUACGGUUAGUAACCUUGGUUCUCUAGAAAAGCUUAUCAACUUCUACAACCUUACCUUAUGGGGGUAUGGUUCCUUUGGGAAUCUAUACAUAUCUACCUAUUUAUCUCUGUGUAACAAUUCUAUAAGAGCAAGAUAAUGUAGAAUGUUCGAAUUUGAGGCAUGAAGUGCAUCUGGAAAAACCAUCAUACUUUUCAUUUUCUUUGACAAAGAAAUUUUUAUGGUGGGUUUCUUUUUUUGUGAAGUCAUACCUUAACCCUUCUUUGUUAAAGAAAGCUCUUUGUAAUACUAACAUGUCGUUUAAUUUUUGUUGGCUAUCUUGAAACUUAGAAAGAGUGUCAUGCAAAGUGUCAUUUUUCUUUUUGAACAAGUCAAUUUCAUUUUGCAUGCCUUUCAUAUUAUCUUUUAACUCAAUCCUAGCCUUAACUAGGUUCUCAUUUUCAACUUCAAGUUUUUUUAUGAUGUCCUUGUAUUUAAGAUUCUUUCUUCAAAUUCAAACAUAAGAUCAUCAUAAGCAUCUUACAAGUCAUCAAAUGUAUAAUCAUUUUCUUCAUGAGUGCAUGAAUCAAGAUUAUGAGGAUUAGAAUUUACCUUGUAGACAUUGAGUGCCAUGAGGCAAAGAUUAACAAUUUCAUUAUCCUUUUCAUCUUGUUAAUCAUCAUUGUCACUCCACGUUGCUAUCAUUCCUUUCUUCUUAAAGUUUCUUGAAGUCCUUCCUUUAUUAUGGCAUUCAUACUUAGUAUGUUCGGGCUUCUUGCAAUCAAUACAAGUUAAGUAAUUCUUGGACAUUCUUCCUUAGGCACAUCCCUUUUCAUAGGUUUUCUAGCUCUAGAGUUUUUCUUUACGAACUUAUUAAAUUUUCCUUGCUAACAUGGACAUAUCCUCUUCAUUUUUACUCUCAUUUUUUUAUGGUUUUCUUAUCCUCCUCAACUAAAGAUUUAAGAACUAAACUUUUUUGUUUGGCCUCUUCCUUCUUAGGUUUUUCUCUCUCAUUCUCAUGUUUAAGUGACAUCUCAUAAGUGAGAAAGGAACCUAUGAGCUCUUUUAGCUUAAAUUCAUUUAGAUUCUUAGCUUCUUCUAUAGUCGCAACUUUGGGUCUCCAAGAUUUUGGCAGGCUAUAAAGGAUCUUUUUUACAAGUUGUGCAUUGGGAAAAUCUUUUCCUAAGGCUUUUAACCACCAACAAUAUUUGUGAACCUUUCAAACAUCUCAUUAAUAGAUUCACUUUCUUUCAUCCUAAAGAGUUUAUUGUCAUAUGUAAGCAAUCCAAUAUUGGAUUCCUUAACUUGGUUGGUGCCUCAUAAGUGGUUUCUAAGGUGUUCCAAAUUUGUUUAGUAUUUUCACACAUACACUUUAUUAAACUCACUAGCUCCGAAGGCACAAAGAAGAGUAUUGUGAGCUUUGCAAUUUAUUUGAAUCAAUUUGUUAUCUCGAUCAUCCCAAUCUUUCCUAGGCUUAACAACCAUUUUGCCAUUUGCCUCCUUCCUUGGAACAUGUGGACCAUCUAGUAUGACGUUCUAAACAUCUAGAUCCACAGAUUGAAUAAACAUUUCCAUUCUCUUUUUUUAAUAAAGAUAAUUAUUACCUAAAAAGAGAGGUGGCCUUUGGAUCAAUUGCCAUUCACCUAGUACUGUUGUCGUUACCUCCAUUUUUAUCGAUUGUGCUUCUACAAAGGAUCUCUCAAAGGUAAUUAGACCUAUAAAAUUUAAGACCAAGCUCUAAUACCAAUUGUUAGUGUAGAAGUCUCAAAUCAAUAUAACAAGGGGGUGAAUUGGUAUAUUUAUAAAAAUUUUAAAAAAAUCUAUUUAUCAAAAUGAAACCUUUUUACCCAAAAAUGUUUUCUAACACUAAAAGCAAAUAUCUAACAAUAAAUCAGUAAGUAUAAAUAUAAUGAAUCAAGCAAAAAUAUUUUUCUAAGAGAAAAUCAACAAAUCAAUAUAAAUAUAUUUUCUAAGGUAAGUAUAAAUAAUAAAUAAUGAUACAAAAACUAAAGAGAAACACAAAUAAUUUAUAGUGGUUCGGCGUUUUCGAUGCUUACAUCCACUCCCUUGGAAAUUAAGGAAUUUCAAUCCACUCUCAAAGGAUUCUUGCUUUUUAAUGUGAGGCGAUAACCUUUACACAAUCCACAAAGGGAUUUUUGUUUUUUCACUAGAUAAGUGAUAACCUUUACAAUCCACAAAAGGAUUUUUGCUUUUUACAGGAUCAAGUAGUAACCUACAUAAUCCACAAGAGAUUCUUGCUUUUUGGUAAAAGCGAUAAUCUUUACAAGAUAGCUUUUCAAAGUUAAGCUAGAACCUUUACAAUGGAGCAUAAAUUUCAACUAGAAAAUGCCUUUACAAAGGUUGGGUGUUGAGAUUUUAAGCUUGUUUAUAGUGAGAGAAAAAAUUUCAGCUUAAAUGAAGCAAGGAUUCAACUUUGAAAGCUUGAUGGAAGAUUGAAAAUAUGCUAGAGAGUAAAGAUGAGCUUGUGGGUAGUCUCUUUAGGGUUUGAAACUUUACCUUAGGUCUUUUCUUACUUUAAAAUGGCUUAAAUGCGUUUAUUUAUAGAUAGAGCAUGAUUUGAAGCCGUUAGACACAACUUUGAAUCAAAUUUGACCUUUGUUGACACCUGAGGGUAGACUAUGUUCUUCAAAUUUUCUCAAUUAGGGCUUCUAUAGUCGAGUAUAUAAGUUCUCUAAUCAAUCCACUUUUAAAGAGCGUCUAUUUUUCAAAUCUAGCCUUUUAUAGUCGACUAUGCCUUUCUUAAAAUCAACUAUGGCUUCUUAAAAUUGACUUUUUCUAGCCUUUGACUUUCUAAGGUCAACUAUAUCUCUUACAUAGUCGACUAUAGUUGUUCUUUAACUUGAUUUUCUUGGUCUUUCUAGAACAGGGUCGACCAUGCUUCCUCUGUAGUUGAUUAUGACUGUUUUGAACUUGAUUUUCUUGAUCUUUCUAGAAUAAGGUCGACUGUGCUUCCUUCUUGUCAACUAAUGCUUUAUGAUUUUCAAGUUUUGCACUUUUCAACCUUCAAAUCGACUUAAGCUUCUCAAAAAUGGACUCUUGACUUGUGUCUUGAAGUUCCUAAAGCUUUUUGAUGCUUUUCUCCAACUAUUUUCUCAUUGCCUUAUACCUAUAUUGAGGUAAACAAUUCAAGGCUUGUUUGCUCUUGAUUUCUUAACUGAAAAUGCAUGGCUUGAAAGCUUGUAUGAUGUUUUCUAAGGAUGCAUAACUUUUCAAACAAUUUUGUAACCUUGGGGGAUUAAAAAUGUAAUUGAAACAAUUUCAAAUGCUUGACAUUAAAUUCAAGAAGACAUAUGAUUUUUGUCAAAUCAAAACGUGAUGGAAUUCAAGUCUUAACACAAAAGAUAAUAGGGUUUCAUGUUACAAGCGGAAAUUGCAUUCAACUACAAUAUUUAUAUUAUAAGCAAAAAUUGCAUUCAACUAUAGUGUUUCAAUAUUUCUAUACACUUUAUACACCAUUUCAGCCCAUAGGGAGGCCCAACAUUCUCAUAUGUAAUGUGAACAAAAAUGGUAAAAGUACCCACAAAGUCCUUAUAUUGUAGAAAUUUGUUCAAUUUAGUCCUUAUACUAUAGUAUUUUGUUCAAUUUAAUCUCUAUACUAUUUAGUUCAAUUUAGUCUUUAUGAUGUGGUAUCGAAAAAAUGAUGUGACGAAAAUUUUUUUUACCCAAAAAAAAUUCUGGACAUGUUAGUACCACAUUAGCAUCACUAAUGGUCAAUUUGGAUGAAAUUAGACAGAGGGAUUCAAAUGUUCAAAAAUUUAUAAUAUAAAAAUUAAAUUAAUCAAUUUUGAAUUAAAAAAACUAAAUUAAUAAAAAUUUUACUGAUAGAAUUUAAAACUCCACAACGGUGUAUAGGAUAUUAAUAGUUGAAUUCAAAAUUUCUUCACUAAUUCUUGGCAUUAAUUUAUAGCAGCUGGAUUCUAAUUGCAAAAAAGUGAAACAGGAGAAUAAGCUGUUGUUUGCGUGGUCUAUUGCCUAUUGAUAAUCUCUUUUCAUUAAAACAGAAUUAGGAAAAAUCAAUGCGUAAACUUGGUAUCAUUCUGAUCAUCCAAUGUUUGAUAAUUCAAUCUACUAUUAUCUAGGCUGAAAAUAAAAUUUGAAUAAGGCCAAUUUUUGAAUUAUGUCACUUGUCAAGUUAAUACGAGCACUUUUCCUCCACGAAGUAAGAGCAUUCCAUUAGCUCUUUUCGCGUUAUUACUAUCCAUUUCAUCUAAAAUUUAACAAUCUUAAAUAAAUCCAAAAGAAGCUUGAUUGAAGAGGCCCCGGGUGGGCUACACUAUGGCGCCCUGGCAAGAAGACGUUGGAAUCGGAUUCAUCUUCAAAUUGUUGAAUUUGGGAAUGGUGUGCAUUAGAUUUCAGAACAGCAAUCUCAGCCCGAGUCUUAGCUAGCUGGGUCUCUGCGUUGUGUAUCUGUUGCUGCAAUAGAAACAUAAGCCCAACGCAGCCAUACACGGGCUUCAAUUCGACAUUGUGCUUCAAAGUACAGGGAAUCUACAGCUUGAGCUCGAUGAUGGACUGGGAGUUGCCGAAUCAUCAAAAGGAGAAAAAGCAGAAAAAAAAGAGUCAAGAUUAUAAAAAAUCACGUGGUCAACAUUCUAAAAGCUGGCCUAGAUUCACUGUAUGUAACAUUAACAUUAGGAAUAAGAAUAGAUGGGGAUGUGGCAGAAACUUACUAGUACUAAAAUUCUUGUUUAUAAAAAACCUUUCAAUUAAAACGAUUAUCUAACAUCUCUUCUAAGUAAGAGAUGAUUUAAUCUUUAAAACGAGCUAAUGGGUUCCUUUUAUAUAUUUACCAAUGCUGACUUAUACACAAAAAAACUGUACAAAGAAACUUAUAACAUUUGUGAGAGUUGAACUAUUAAUAUCCACGCAAGUUUCAAAGCUAACCAUGGUUCUAAUGAUGUCAGACCUUAGUAGGGAAAAGAAAUAAAGGAAAAACUCCAUAAUCGAGGCUUGAAAGUUGCAUGGCAAUAAUGCAUAGCCAAUAUAACCAACGAGCAAAGUUAAUUGCAAUUUUGGUAAUGAUCCAAAAGAGAGAAAAUAGAAUUAUGUCAACAAUGGAAAUGCAUGGUAAGGAGAUUACCUGAAGCAGUUUUGCAACGUUGCUGGCUCCAAAGAUUUUGUGAAUGGAUGCAAAUCUUUGUAGAUUAUUAGAAGGGAAAUAAGGAGAGAAAACGCAAUCUGAAUGGCAUUUCCUUCUUAAAUAUUUGCAAGCCGCACAGCGACCAGGAUUCAUGACGCAAAAGAUCUUUGCACAAGAAACUAGUAAAAAAUCCUAACGAAAGGAUCUUUUCAAUUUUUUGUUAUUGGAGAAUAAAUCUAUUGAGGAUUUUAGACUACAAGAUUAAGAGAUUAAGGUUAAUAUAAGGGGGAAGUUGCUGUGAGGACACAGUGUUAGCUAUGAAUUUUCUUCCAACCAACGGCUACUUUUUUCAAAAUCUUGUAUUUGUAAGGUAACUUGGUGAAAAAUUGUAGGGGUUGCCAUAUUGGAAGCUCUGAAAGAAGCAAAUAUGGCAAGUUUUAUUUUCAGAAUGUAGAUUUUUUUUUUCCUUACUUGAAGGGUUUGACUUAUAUAACUUUUCUUGGUUAAUAAACCAAAUCCAUGGAUUGUACAUUAAAUUUGUAACUUGAGAAUCAGAAAUCAAAAUUAUAGUAUUGGGCUGUCGAAUCAAUUGGAUUAUUGAAAUUCAUUUUGCUUUUACUAAACUUGAUCACAUAAAAGAUAUAACAAUGAUGAAAGUGUUAUUUAGGAUUAGUGGUAAAACCAUUCCAUAAUUGUACCAAUAAUUUGAAAUUUAAUUCCUCAUUCAUCGAGAAUUGGGGGUUUAGGAAGAGAUAGAACCUUAGUUCUGACGUCUCGUGGAAAAAAAAAGCUUCUAAGAUUAACAAAAAUGGCCUUCAAAUAAGAAAACAUGAAGUUAGAGGUUUGACCGAUUCUUGUACGCCCAUCUUUCUUUCAUUCCGCGUAGCAAAGGCUGUCCAGAGCGAUUGGUACGUUCCAUUUGCAGAUUAAUUUACUAAUGCAUCUAUCUCUAAAGCCAUUGAUAUUCCUGAGUAGUACAAUUUGUGGCUGAUCAUAUGGAGUAAAGCUAGCCAAUAUCUGGGAAACAGGGCCUCGAUUCCUCAACUUGCAGAGCUGACCUGCACUCUUCGUUUGCUCAAGCCUCCAUUGGUUGCAAAUCUGUGUCGCAUACACUAUAACCACAUCUCACCUUUUUCAUUAAGGAAUUGGCUGCUUGAUCUUGAUAUAGAGAGUAGGGACCUUGACUACCCUGCAAACAAAAACCAACUUCAACCAUGAAUAGAUCCUCUUUUUGUAAUUGUAGGAUUCUUGUCUGAAAAAUAAACCAAGUAAGCCAUGAGCAUUGACCCUGUUCUUUUGGACAGAAACGCAAAAUUAUUAUUAGUAAACGACAGAAUAUGUAAAAUUUCAAAGUGAUUAAUCACACAUGAAAGCACAAGAAAGGGAAAAAGCAAAAGCAUUGUGCUUCGAUUGCACCCUUUUUGAUCUUCCAAAAUUCCUUUCAAAUGCCCAUUUUGAAUAUGCACUUUAGACGCACACAGCGUGGCACCAUCACCCCUUUCGCAAAGUUUUGAUGGUACCACGCAAGCAUGCGCCAAAAGACCAUACUCUUAUCUCCGGUCUCCCCAACCACAAAAAUUGGCUCCUCUCUCUCUCUCUCCCUCUCUUUCACUCUCUUUCUUUCAUAGGCAGAAGUGAAGGAUCAUGGAGUGCAGAGAUUGCUUUAUUUAUCACACACAAUAUAUAUAUAUCAUGGAGCUGAGAGAGACAAAGAGAGAGAGAUGAAAUAAUAUGAUAAUUGAAGGGACCUAAGGAACAAAGUAAGGCAGCAUGCUGUGUCCACUGGCAUAAAUGAAAGAGCAAGAAGCCAAUAGCCAAAUAGUGACGACAUAUGCUGCUCCCGGAAAAUCGUUGACAAGUGUGCGGAUUUCAUUGUCAUGGUGCGGAGGCAUGCAGCCACGCAUGUCCUAGGGGGCUGGGGACAGUUUCUUUUGUGUUGGACACUUGGGACAAGUGGCAAUUCUUGAUGCUGCUUCACUGUGAAGUAAAAGUUAAAAUGCGUGCAUUUCUUCUACGUGGAACUUUGUGAAAGAAGAGAGACGGAUAAGGCAAAGGAAAAGUUGAAGAAAGAAGAGCAAAUGAAGUGGCGUCUUAGUUGUUGGUACCAAUUUAUUAAUUAAGGAGAAGACGAAUUUAAUGCACGAAACUAAAAAUUUGACCAACAAUAGUUUCAUAAAAUUAGAAUAUUAUCUCAUUAGUUUCAUAAAAUCCUAUUUCAACCUAUAAAAAUUUUAAGGCUUUCUACUUAAGUCCCUAGAAAGGAAAAAAGAUAAAGUUUUUCGAAUUUUUGUUGUCAAAAUGUGGUACAAAUACCUCAAACUUACACACAUUCAAUCAUUAAUUUAAGGUUGUAGAAAUCAAUGAAUAACAAUUUAUCAAUACGAAGCAUACUAGAUGUAAAUAAACUCACUGAGCUAAACUUGUUCGAUUGAUAUCACAAUUUGAGAAUAGUUUUUGAAUAAGAAAAGAAAUUAUAUGUCCUUAAAAAUGUUGGUCCUCUAAUCCUUGUUGAGACACUAGUGAUGAGGUUUGGGAAGCCAAUCAAACUCAUAAAAAUGAUGGUGAUGUUGGCUAGCAUGACCUAGAAUUGCAAGAACAACAUGAAAAAUAUAUGAUAGCUUUGACUAUGAUUUUGCAUUUAAGAGAAUUGAUCGACAAGCAAAGUUGUACAAAAAAGGUACGAGGCAUCAAGGUAUUGUUCCAUUGUAAAAUGGUAAGAGACAGUUCUUUCAGGGCUCAUGACUUAAAGAUGCUUGGUUACAUUGAGAAGUUAAGGCAUCUUGGUUUUGUCAUGGACCAUAAACUUUGUGUUGAUUUGGUUUUAUAGCCUCGACUAGAUAGCUUUUCAAUUUGUAAUGUACUUCCACAUGAAUAGAUUGGAAGCUAUCUUACCUAAAUUGUUGAACAUGUUGGAUACAACUGGGAGGUUCAUUAGAAGGAAAAGUGUGUGUUGCUAUGCUUCAUCUUCCAAAUAAAAAAAGAAGACGAUGAGGAAGAAGUAAGAGAAGAAAGUCAAGGACUCUAUAGCUAAGGCUCAAGAGCCUACUAACGACAUAAAAAAGAACAAGAAGAAGGAUGUUUGUCAUCAUUGUUGCUAAGAAAAAGUGGAACAAUAGGCAUGUAAUCAAAUUAUACGUACAUAGUAGAAUUUAAAUUUUUUUCCAUGAGCUAAAUCUUGCUUUAUACAUUUAUCAUAGAUAAAUCCUAACUAGAGGAUAAUGGUCAUAGUUCCUUAAUUCCUUGGAGUCAAAACUCAAAAAGUUUCUGAUACAAUUCAAUCCUCUUCAUAAGCUGGAUUACAACAAACCACAAGCUGUCCAAGUGUCUAACCUCCAAUGAUGAUCCACACGAAUGGUAAUUGCGAAUAACUUAUAUGAAGAUUAGGAUUGCUUAUGCUUGUAGAGCCUAAUGCUAGCUAGGAGAGAUACAAUUUGAUCUUUCUUUUCACCAAAAGAGAUCAAAACAAAACCAAGAACACCAAGAUACACCAAUCAAUGGCAAAGGCACCAAGUCUUGGAUAAGGUGUGACUUCAUAAAUUUCCUUCUUAUUAAAUGAUCCACAGGGUUUAAAACAACCUUUGCUUAAACCUUGAUCAAUACAUUAAAUAACAUGAGUCACACUCAAUAUGGAGAAAAAAACAAUGGUCAAAUGGUUGAGGGUGAUGAUCAACAGCUUACAAGGCUAUAGGGAUAGCUAGAUUGAUUCUCAGGGUUUGGAACUCUUCCAAAUUUUCCCUCACAAAGCUCUCAAAGUUUUUUGGAUGGUUUUCAAAGGGGUUUUUAAUGUUGAUCACACAUUUUUUAUGUUAUUAAUGUGCGACAUAAGCCAUAUAUUUAUUAGCAAUUAAUCUUAUUCCUAAUAGGACAAUGCAUAACCUUUAUGCUUAAUUGCUUAAUUGCCUCUAAACUAAUUGAACCUUUCAAUUAAGUCCCUAAAGUUCUUAACUUCUUUUAAUUAAGUAAAACUCAAUUAACCCUUUUUAAAUUGACAAUUGACAUUUUUAAUAUGUGUAACUCAUUAGGUUCUUAACAUGUUAGCAAUAAAUAUUAACUAUAUUCUAAGUCAAGCUAGGAUUAGAUAAAUCAAACUCCUAUGCAUUCUUCAUCAAUUCCCAAAUGAUUAGUUUAUUUUUAUAAGUCAAGAUCAUAAUGUUUCAUGACUACCCAAAUAUUAAGAAAAGUCAUAAUGUUUUGACUCAACCUUUCAAUGAACAGUUUUACAAUGUAAUUAUUAUCCCUUCAUCAUCUAAUAUCUUGGCAAGACUUAGUGCCUAUUUGGCUUGGCUUUUUUUUUAACUUAUCUACUUCCAAAAGUAGAAGUCGAGUCAAACAGGAUUUUGUGAGAAGCUCUUAAAAAAAUAGCUUUUUUUAAAGAACAAAAUUAAAAAAAAAAACUUCAAGAAAAGCUCUAAAAAGGAGUUUUUUCUUUUUUUUCUUUAAAAAACACGUUAGCUUCUUAAGAGAAUUUUUUUUUUCCAAAAAAAUCCUCUCUAAAAAAGUACCCUAUCCCUUUCUCCUUAUUGAUCUCCUUUUUGCCUCUUUGCAAAUCAUCCCUUCAGGGUUUUUAUUGUUCUUACAAAGAUUAAUGAAAGGAAGAUCCAAAAUUCAAAACUUUGUUUAGGUAUUAUUUCUUCUUUUUCUUUCUGUUUUGUUUUUCAUUUUCUUUCUAUCACUCUUUUUUUGGGCUUUGGAAACUCUUUUAUUGUUUGACAUUUCUUAGUUGAUUGUUUGAUAUGACAAUUAUGUGAUGUUUAUUUGUUCUUAAGUUGUAUGCUUUAGAAGAAGCUUGCACAGUUUUGGGAAGGGGCUUUGAUUGAUCCAAAAAAAGAAUCUUUUACAACCGAUAUGCCCUUAGGCACAACCGUACAUAACAUAGAAAUCACACUUGGAAAGGGUGGACAAUUAGCUAGAGUAGCGGGUGCUGUGGCGAAACUGACUGCAAAAGAGGGGAAAUCAGCCAUGUUAAAAUUACCUUUUGGGGGGGGGGGGGGGGGUUCCGUUUGAUAUCUAAAAACUACUCAACAACAAUCAGCCAAAUGGGUAAUGUUGGGGUGAACCAGAAAAGUUUAGGUAGAGCCGAAUCUAAAUGUUGGCUAGGUAAGGUCCUGUAAUAAAAGGAGUAGUUAUGAACCUAGUAGACCAUCCCUUUAGGGGUGGUGAAAGGAGGGCUCCAAUUGGUAGAAAAAAACCCAUCAAUUAGACCUUCUCCUCUUUCAAUAAAAAAAGGUUUAAGUUGGCCUGAGUGAACUCAGCCUUAGGUGGUUCACACUCUACUUUACCUUUUAGAAAUAGGAGGUUCUUGUCACAUUGGAAUAGAAGACCUUGCAUAUACACAAGUCAAUAGAAGUAUUCUACCUAUUCCUUCCUAACUUAAAGUGAAAAGGCUUACUUUGUAACUUUAACUGGGGUGAGAAAAGAGAGUCAUAUUCAUAUAUAAUCAUUUUUAUAAACUGUAUGCUUUGUUUUCUUAUGAAUCCCAUCUCUCAAUAGCGUUACGCACCUUUUAAAAGGCUAAGGCAAGGAGGUAAUUUAGCACCAUUAAUGAUGUAGGGUAGGGGGGAGAAUGAGAAGGAGAAGGAAGCUUACUCUUGUUGUCGAUUUUGCAUACAUAAGUAUACGUAUCAAACAAGUAAUAUAGUGAUGAAGUAGAGUAUCACUCCACGGAGAUUUGUUCUUAAAUUUUUACUAAGUACUAAAAUCUUAUAACAAAUCAAUCUUAUUUAAGUAAUCGAAAUUUGUAGAAAAUUAACUGAAACAAAAUUAAAAUAAACACUAAAUUAACUAACAAACUAAAUAAGUUAAGAAAAGUAGUAUAUUAAAGACCUAGGAUUAUGGGUUCAUUCAACAUUUUAUUUGAGACCAGCUUUUCUUGUUAUUUAUCUUUCUUGGGUGGUUUUACUAACCUAGAAUCCAAAGCUAUAGACAAGUCUCCAUCGAGUUGCUUGUACAAAUACCUAACUUAAUUAGUUCACUAUAUGUUUAUAGGAAUCAAUUAAAUUAAGUUCAUUAAGCAAGUGUCCUAAUGUGGCUAUGUUUGGCAAUUAGCACAUGUAUACCAGAAUCGCGAAUAAGAUCACAUAAAUGACGUAAACAUACACUAUUCAAAUCUUAGUCCAAUCUAAAAUCUCUCUGUCGAGUCUCAAUUAGAUUCACAAAUUAGUUAAUUAUUGUCCAAGCAAUCAAAAGCAUUAAGAAUAGAUUUGAAUAAGCAAAACUACACCUAUUGAUGAUAAAUAAAAAAGAAACUAAUAUUUAAACUACAUGUUGAAAUCCACCACAAUCCUAGAAAGAUAAUUUAGCUCAAAAUAACAAAUAAAAACAACAUCCAAAAAAAUUUAGCCAUGAAUCCAAGUCAAAGAAGAUAAGAAAAACAUAAAAGUAGAGAAAGAAACUAAUUAUUAAAGCUUUAUGAUCUCAAUUCUCUCUCAAGUUCUCUUGUUUUCUUGCUUUGUUCUUGGCUCCAAAUCUCCAAAAUAGUUGCUUGCUCCUCCUCCUUAAAACCUUUGAAAAAGGUCUCUUAAAUAGACUCCAAGUAACCUAAUUUCCAAAAUCCUGUCAAAUUUUUAUUUUUGGAAAAUUGUCCAGCACCGCAGCCUUGAUUUCUUGGUGCCGUGGCACUGGUUUUUGUUUGCUACAGUAGCAUUGCAGUGUUGAGGUCUCGGGAAAAUUGUAUGGUGAGCUUCCUUUCACCAGCGCUACAGCUUUGUUCUCCCAAUGCUGUGGCAGUCUACCAAAUUCUAAUGUGAUUUUCACCUUGAUAUGGUCUGAACAGGGAAAAGUAGUAAACAUAAAAGUUGUACUCCUAUCUUUUAUCUUUCCAGUGGCUUAAUAAUCAUGUCAAUUGGACUUCUGUAUUGAAAGAUAUGCUCCAAAUACUGUAUCACGUUUAGUCCAUGCAUACUACUACAGUGUUCCCAAUUAUUCAAACAUAUUGACCAUGAUGCAAUCCAAACUGGGUGAAGUGUUAAACACAAAAGUUGUAUCCCUUCCUCGUAGAAGCCUAGUGGUUUAGGAAUCACUACAUUUGGAGUUCUGCAGACAGAGAUAUGAUCAAAAUACCACAACAUAUACUAAAAAAGCCAUUACCAUACUUGUAUGGGUUUUCAUCAAAUGAGCCUUUUUCAUCAAAUUUCCUACAAAAGCAAUAAGAGAAAUUACCAAUACUACUCUUAAAGUAAUUUAAAAUAAAAUAAUAUAAAAUUUAACUAAAAUAACUUAAGUUAGCUACUUAACAUGUAAUCAAACUUAAACUAGAAAAAUGCUUAAAAUGCUACGAUUUGAACCUAAAAUCUCAAAGAUCUAACUACUUAAGCCCCCAAAAUGUGUCAAAAUAACUCUAUAUAAUAGAGUUAUCAACUCUCCAUAGAGAGACUAAGGAAGAAAGUCAGCUUAAGGACUCUUUCUCAGCGUAAAGAGUGCUACUUUUAUUGAUAUUGAUGAAUCAGGCCUAACGAGAGGAGAUAGAAUCAUCCUAUAUUGAAAGACAUAGCUCCUAAAUCAAUAGGAAAGUAUACAAUCAUCAUUUCACAUUCGAGUGAUAACUCUAUUAUAUAGAGUUAUUUUGCCACAUUUUAAUUGCUAAAAAUUGUUAAGUCCUUGUGUUUUUAAGUUAAUUUUAGAUAGCUUUUAUGUUUUUCGUUAUUAAGUUUAAUGGAUGUUGAACUACUUUAAUUUGAGUAAUUUUAGAUCUUUUUCACGUUAAAAGUCCUAAAUUGAGCCAUCACUGAUUUCGUUUUUGUUUUAAAGGUUCUCAAGUGCAUAAAGAUUCCUAAAAGUGAAUCACACAAGAAUGGCUAUGUGUAGAUUUUUAUUGAAUAUGGUGUGGUAUUUUGGGCAUAACUCGCACUACAGAAGUUUGAUUGUUAAGAUUCAUGAACCACAGGAAUGCUAAAAGGAAAGGCUACAACUUUGAUGUCUACCAUUUUUCCCAGUUUUGAUUAGAUCAUGGUCAAAAACCCUGUCAAAUUUCCUAAGCACUAUAAUAGCCUGCAUAAGGGGAAAAUAGAGGACUUAGCGUCGUAACCUUGAAUGGCCAGCGCGGUUAUUUUUUCUCUUUUUAUUUUAGGUUUUAAUUUUUUAGGGCUUUUUGAUGGUUUAUAAAUAGCUCUUUUUUAGCAGAGAAUUAGAGAGGACUGAGCAGUAGUUUUUUUAGAGAAAAAGAGUGAUUUUGCACAAGAGAAAAAUGAGAAGAGAGCAAGAGAAGAUAAGAUGGGAUUUGACAGAAAACUUUUUCUCACUUUAGUUUUGUUAUAUCUUUUUCUUUUAUUGUGAACAUGAAUUGUUUUCAAGAAAUCAUGUUGUUUGCUUUAGUUAUCAUGAGCUAUACUAUUUUUCUAGGAUUGUGGUGGAUUUCAACGUGUAAUCUGAAUAUUUGUUUCUUUUUUAUUUAUUAUGAAUGGGUAUAGUUAUGUUUAUUCAAAUCUGUUCGUAAAGCUUUUGAUUGUUUGGCCAACAGUUGAAUGAUUUAUGAAUCUGAAUGAGACUCAACAGAGUAAUUUUAGAUUAGAUUAAGUUUUGAAUAGUGUAUGUUCACGUCACUUAGAGGAUAGGUGAUUUGAUUUGCAAUUAGGAUAGAUAUACGCCUAAAUGCCAUACAUAGUUAAAUUAUAACACUAGCUUAAUUAACCAUAUUUAAUUGAUUACUAUAGACAUAUAGUAACCCAAUUAAGUUGGGUAUUUGUACAAGCAUCUUGAUAGAGACUUGUGCAUAGGUUUGGAUUCUAGGCUAGCAUAACCACGUAUGAAUAUAAAUAUUGAGAGAAACAAAUGUCAAAUAAAACCCAUAAUCCUAGGUUUUAAUCUAUUGCCUAUCUAGUGAAUUUUUAGUUUUUGUUAAUUAGUUUAGUGUUUGAUUAAAUUUAGCCAUAAUUGAUUUUCUACAAAAUCGAGUUACUUGAAUAAGAUUAAUUUGGCAUAAUUUUAGUACUUAAUGAAAAAUUAAAAGUAAAUCCCUAUGGGGACUUACUGUCUAUAUUACUUGUUUGAUACAUAUACUUGCGUGUAUUAAAUUGACAACAAGUUUUUGGCACUGUUGCUGAGGAUUUAUUUUCUUAUUUAUUUUGCUAAUAUUAAUAUUCAACAGAUUAGUCUUAAUUUAAGUUUUUCUUUCUUUGUUCUGUAAAUACGUUCCAUCAUUGUAUGAGAAGAGCAAAAAGCUUAGGGAUUGUAUUUUGUGAUCCACAGAUUGUGUCUUGUGAUAUAGAGAUUGAGAGAACAUUUCGUAGACUACGAUGAUAAAAUUAACAAGUUUUUGCUCAAAUUUAUACAAUGGUUGAUUGAUAGGUUGAGCAGCAAGUCCAAGAGCGAGUAGUAGAAGAGAAUCAUCCCUUAAUGGACUAUGUUGUUCCAUUGGUACAAGGGCUUCCUUCGAGCAUUUGUAGGCCAACUAUUCAAGCUAACAAAUUUGAGAUUAAGUCUGCCAUCAUUACCAUGAUCCAAACUUCAAUCCAGUUUAGGGGUUUUUUAAAUGACAAUCCAAAUGCCCACAUCUUGAACUUUUUAGAGAUAUGUGACACCUUUAAACACAAUGGAGUCACAGAUGAUGCGAUCCGUUUGAGACUUUUUCAUUUUCGUAAAUGGACAAAGUGAAUUUGUGGCUGAACUCAUUUCUUAUUGGCUCUAUUACAACAUGACAUGGCCUUGCUCAAAAGUUCCUUGCCAAAUUUUUUCCUUCGACCAAGAUAGUAAAGAUGAGGAAUGAUAUCACAUCAUUCAUGUAACUAGAUGUGGAAUCGUUGUACGAAGCUUGGGAGAGAUACAAGGAUCUGCUUAAGCAUUGCCCUUAUCAUGGUCUUCCAAAGUGGCUUCAAGUGCAGAUGUUCUACAAUGGAUUGAGUGGUUAGGUUCAAACCACUAUUAAUGCUGCUUCGGGAAGAGCUCUCAUGGAAAAGUUAAUUGAUGAGGUGUAUGACCUAUUGGUGGAGAUGGCAUUGAACAAUUACUAGUGGCUAGUAGAGCAAUAAAUGCAUAAGAAAGUAGUUGGAGUUCACGAAGUAAAUGCCAUUUCGGCAUUAACAACACAAGUAACAACUUUAACUAAAAAACUUAAUUCUUUUGGUGCUAACUCAGCUUACAGUCCUUUCGUAGUUUAUGAGUAUUGUGGAGAUAGGCAUGUUAGUGAUCAAUGUCCAAGCAGUACAAAGAUAGUUCAGUUCAUGGGUAAUAGACAAUUGAACAACCUUUGCUCCAACAUUUAUACCCUUGGGUGGAAGAACCAUCCAAACUUCUUUUAGGGUAAUAAUUAGGGAUCAUCUUCAGCUCUAAGGUUGAACAGUCUUCUUAUAUUCCAACAGCAAGUGAAAGCUCCUAUCUUAGGAAAGAAACCAUAUAUAGAGAAAUUGAUGAUGCAUUACAUGGCCAAGAUCGAAUUCCUUAUACAUAAUCAAGUGACUUCGUUAAGGAACCUUGAGACCCAGGUUGGUUAACUCGUUAACACAAUAAACAAUAGAGCUCAAUGGAUUUUAGCUAGUGAUACAAAGGCAAAUUAGAAAAGGGAAGGUAAGGAACAUGUCAAAGCCAUCACCUUGAGAAGUGGUAUAGAAGUUGAAAGCAACCAGAAGCAAGUUGAACAGAAAGGUAAGACAGUUGAGAGUGAGACACAUAUUGCAGGUUCUAGUGAGCAGUGUCAAGAAAAGGAAGUAAAGGCAACUCUACCACCACCAUUUCCUCAGUUCUUUAAGAAACAACAGCAAGAGAACUAGUUUCAUAAAUUUAUGGAAGUGUUUAAAAAGCUUCACAUCAACAUUCCCUUUACAACGGCCUUAGAGCAGAUUUCCUUCGUAUGUGAAAUUUUUGAAGGAUAUCUUGUCCAAAAAAGGAGGUUGGGUGAGUUUGAGAAAGUGGCACUCAUUGAAGAAUGUAGCACAAUUAUUCAGAACAAGCUUCCUCUCAAGCUUAAGGACCUUAGUAGUUUUACUAUUCUAUGAAUUAUUUGUGGAUUAUUUUUCGCCAAGGCUUUGAGUGAUCUGAGGGAUAGUAUUAAUUUGAUGCCUUUAUUUAUCUACAAUAAGUUGGGUUUGGGGAAGAUUAAGCCUACUAUUGUGACUUUACAAUUAAAGGACUGAACACUCACAUAUCUAAGAGGUAUAGUAAAAGAUGUGUUAUUUAAAGUUGAUAGAUUUAUCUUUCUUACAAAUUUCAUAGUACUCAAAAUGGAAAAGAUAAAAAGGUUCCUAUCAUCCUAAAGAGACCUUUUUUACACACUGCUUAAACAUUCCCCAUUGUGGAGAAGAGAGAGUUUGUUUUGCGAGUGCAAGAUCAAAAGGUAACUUUCAACAUUUUUAAAGCUUUAAACUUUAUUAACAAUUAUGAUGAAUGCUUUGGAGUGAGUGUAGUUGAUGGGGUCACAAAUGAAAUUUUUAGGGAAAGCCACCUUACAAAUGAAAUUUUUAGGAAAAGCUAGUUUUAAGGGAAAGCCACCUUACUAACCCAUUUAAAGCUUCUUUGAUUCUUGAUUUUGAAACAAGUAAUGAGGAUGUCUUGGAAUGUGUAAAUGUGUUGAAUGCUUCAUCUCGUGUCAUGGGGACACAAUUUGAGAUGCUGAAUUUUUCAUAUUCUUCAUCAUCACUAGUAAAGCUUUUUAUUGAAGAACGUCGUAAGUUAGAGCUCAAACCAUUGUCGAAUCAUCUGAGAUAAACAUAUCUUGGGAAUUUGUCCAUUCUUCCUGUUAUUGUUUCAUCUGCUUUAACUAACAAGCAAGAAUAUAAGUUGCUGAGAGUUCUAAGAGAGCACAAGAAGGCAUUAGGAUGGACAAUUGCAGACAAAAAAGGGAUAAGUCCUUCGAUAUGUAUGCAUAAAGUUUUGUUGGAGGAUGAUCACAAAACCACUAUAAAUCAUCAAAGAAGAUUGAAUUCGAUCAUGAAGGUGGUGGUGAAGAAAGAAGUCAUCAAAUGGUUAGACGCUAGCUUCAACUACUUUAUUUCGAAUAGUGCAUGGGUAAUUUCGAUGUAAUGUGUACCAAAAAAAUUUGGAUGACAGUGGUUGCAAAUGAGAACAAUGAGCUCAUCCCCAUGAGGAUAGUAACUAGAUGAAGAGUUUGCAUGGAUUAUCAAAAGUUCAAGAAGGCCACAAGGAAAGAUAACUUUUCUUUACUAUUUAUUGAUCAGAUGCUGGAUAUGCUAGUUGGAAAAGAGCUUUUUUCUUUCUUGGAUGGGUAUUCUGGAUACAAUCAAAUAGCGAUUGCUGUAGAGGAUGAAGAGAAAACAACUUUUACUUGCCUUUAUGGCACUUUCGCUUUUAAGAGGAUGCCAUUUGGACUUUGAAAUGCUUCAGCCACAUAUCAACGAUGCAUGAUGGCUAUCUUUUUAGAUACGAUGGAGAAAACAUUAGAGAUAUUUAUGGAUGACUUCUUUGUUUUUGGAAAUAAUUUUGAUGAAUGUUUGUUAAAUCUUGAUAAGGUUUUAAGAAGAUAUGAAGAAACAAACCUGGUGCUAAAUUGGAAAAAGUGUCGUUUUAUGGUACAAGAAGGCUUCGUUCUUGGUCAUAAGGUUUCAAGCAAAAGAUUGGAGGUGGACAAAGAAAAGAUAGAGACAAUCGAGGAGCUUCCACCACCAAAUUCAGUAAAAGGUACAAAGAGUUUCCUUGCUCAUGCUUGUUUUUAUCAACAAUUCAUUAAGGACUUUUGUAAAAUUGCUAAACCUUUGUGUAACUUCCUGGAAAAUGAUGUUCUCUUUAAAUUUGAUGAUGCAUGUCAUGCUACAUUUAUAGAAUUGAAAAAGAUAUUGACAUUUGCACCUAUUAUUAUAGUUCUUGAUUAGUCAUUCACAUUUGAGUUUAUGUGUGAUGUUAACGACUAUGUUGUAGGUGCAGCGUAAAGAUAGAGAAAAGCUAAAGUUUUUUAUUCUAUAUAUUAGCUAGCAAAACCAUGACUAAAAAUCAGAUGUGUUACACUACUACUGAAUAAGAAUUAUUAGAGAUUUUUUAUACAUUUGAUAAGUUUCGUUUUUAUUUGAUUUGCAUAAAAGUUAUUGUUUAUACUGACCAUUCAACAAGUAUGUAUUUGAUUACUAAGAAAAAUGCCAAGCCAAGGUUAAUAAGGUAGUUAUUUUUGCUAUAGAAAUUUGAAUUGGAAAUUAGAGACAGAAAAGGCUUAAAGAAUCAAGUAGUAAACCAUCUAUCAAGGUUACAAAAUGACAACCACGAUAAGGAUUUGACUUUGAUCGAUGAGAAUUUUCCUGAUGAGUAAUUAUUAAAUGUUGAUUACAAGAGAUUACCCUAGUAUGCCGAUUACGUGAACUAUAUUUUGAAUAAACUCAUCCCUCUUAAUUUAAAUUUUCAUCAAAGAAAGAAAUUUCUUUAUAAUGUUAGAUUUUUUGUAUGGGAUGAACCAUUUUUGUUCAAGCAAUGUGCAGAUAGAGUUCUGAAAAGGUGCAUUCCAAAGGAAGAGGUUGAAAACAUUUUGACUCAUUGUCAAUCUACGGAUUAUUGGGGACAUUUUGGAAGAGAUAGAAUAGUAGCCAAAGUUCUUUAGUUAGGUUUGUAUUGGCCAACACUUUUUAAGGAUGCUCACAAUUUUGUUUUGCAUUGUGAUAGGUAUCAACAAGUGCGAAACAUUUCAAGACGUCAUGAGAUGCCUUCAACAACAUUCUAGAGGUGGAAAUAUUUGAUGUUUAGGGGAUUAACUUCAAGGGACUUUUUAUCUCUUUGUUUAAUAAUCACUACAUUUUAUUGGCUGUUGAUUAUGUCUCGAAGUGGGUAGAAGCCUCAACGUUGCCCACAAAUGAUGCUUAAGUGGUGUUGAAGUUUCUAAGGAAGAAUAUUUUCACAAGAUUGGGCAUGCUAAGGGCAAUAGUGAGUUAUGAAGGUAACCACUUUUGCGAUAAACAUUUCACAUCUCUACUUACACAGUUUGGAGUGACUUAUAAGGUGGCGACUGCUUAUCAACCCCAAACAAAUGGACAAGCUGAAAUAUAAUAUUGGGAGAUCAAAAGAAUAAUAGAAAGGGUUGUGUAUCCAUCGAGGAAAGACUAGGCUAAGAGAUUUGAUGAUGCAUUAUGGGCAUAUAAGAUUACAUACAAGACACCCAUUGGUAUGUCUCCAUAUCGUCUAGUCUUUGGCAAAGCAUGUCAUCUUCCAGUUGAGCUGGAGCAUAAAGCUUUUUGGGCAAUAAAGAAAUUAAACUUCAACUUGGAAACAGUCGGUGAGAAGCGUUUGAUUGAACUUAAUAAGAUGGACAAGAUCAAAUUAGAUGCCUAUGAAAAUGCUAAGAUCUAUAAAAAGAAAACUAGAAAUGGCAUGACAGAAGGAUUGUUGAACGCUGAUUUGAGCCAACAAGAAUGUGUUGAUAUAUAACUUUUGACCCACAUGGGGCAGUGGAACUUGUUGAUGGUUCGACUAACAAGUCGCUUAAGGUGAAUCGGUAGCGGUUGAAGCACUAUUGGGGAGGUGACAUUGAUCGUCAAUGUUUCUCCAUUAUUCUUUCCGACCCCAAUUGAGCUACAAAGAGAGUUUACCUAAAGACUAUAAAGAAAAUGCUGCUUGAGAGGCAACUCAAGUUUUUCUUCCCUAAAUCUAUUUUAGUUACAUUUUGAAUUUUUACAUUUAAAAUUUUGAUGUUUGAUUAUUAAUUUUUUUCCUUUUUGAAAGUUAUUAGAUUUAUUAAAAAAAAAGGGGCAGCAUCAUUGGCGUCGUAACACCAGUCACCCAGCACUGAGGCGUUGGGGAUGCUACCAAUUUUCCAACAAGGUUGACGCCAUGGCACUAAUGAAAAGAAGGCCAAGACCUAGGCAUCACACCGAUAGAAGGCCAACGUCGCGGCGUAAGAGGGUUGACGCCGCGGCAUUGAGACGAGAUUUUUCCACUCAUUUAAACCUCCUCCACUCUUUCUUCUUCAUUUUAAACCCGAUCUUCCAAUUUUUUUUUCACUUUGUUUCUACCAAAGCCUAAAAUUUCUCACCUAUUCACCAAAACUUCAAAAAUUUCCACAUUCUUGCACAAAAACAUAAGAUUCAAAGAGCAUUCUUCCAUCAACAAGCAACAAAAAUGCAGAAUUUUUUUUAAUAAUACCAAAGUUUUUGGAAGAAUCUUUAUUUUGGUGGAAAUUGGCUAGUAUAAAAGAGUUUUGUUAAUGAUUAUUGAUAGGCUUUGAUAAUUUUGGAUUAUAAGUUAUUGUGCUUGACAAUGUGACAAGUUGAAUUGAUGAAUUUUAAGAAUUGGAUAGUCAAGAUAAGUGAAUAGUGUCAAAAUAUUAUGCACUUUAUAUUGGAGGAUAUUGACUUGGUAUUUUUUAUGAAAUUCACAUUUGCAUGUUAGCUGUAGAGAGAAUUGAAUAUAGUGUGAUAUUAGCGGAGAUUUUUAGUGAAUUUUUGGAUGCUUAGAAUAUUUUUUAUGGUUUGCUUUGGGAUUUUGAAUCAAAAUGCUAUGGCACCUAAAAAGGCUAUGGAUAGUGGCACCAGUGGGUUCAAUAGGUCCAAAUUUGUAUUAGUUGAGGUAUCGGUACACCACACUCAGUCAUUGUUACAAAAAUCCUUAAUGUCGAAGAGAGGCAUUAAUGUACCAUCCGUUUAUUACAGGCAUAUUUGAGAUAUAAUUGAAGGGAGAAAUGGAAACAUUUUUGUGCUCAACCAGAGGUGACAGUGAUGCUAGUUGUGCAUGAACUUUAUGCCAAUGUAUACGAGAGCGAAAGACGAGUUACUUUUUGCAAGGGUCGUAGAAUGCUUUUUGAUAGCCAUACAAUUAACCAAUUCUAUAACACCUCUGUCAAGCCCGACCUUAUAAAAUACUUUCCAUGUCAUUCAUAUGAUUCACAAUAUGCUUGCAUACUUGGAAAGCCCCGAAAGAAAAAUCAUUAAAAGACGACAAUGUACCAAAUGGUACAAUUAAGUUAAUUUAAGCCUCGAACUAGAUCAAAUAGAGAAUUUAAAAUGAAAUUAAGAAUAUUAAAGUCCCAGAAUGGUUUAAUAUGGUGAUUUGGAGUUCGAGGAUCAAUUUGGAGUCAAACCGGAAUUUUUACUGUCCAGGGGCAAAAUGGUCAUUUGCCACCUAGGGACACAAUGGGAAUUUUUAGAAAAGAAUUUUUUUGGCCCCAUUUGACUUAUUGGAGUAUGAUUUGAGUAUUGGAGUAUAAUUUGAGGGUUUGGCAGUGAAAAAGUUUAAUUUCGGUGAUUUUUAGAAUGUAGGGGCAAAAUCGUAAUUUUGCCACCCGCGAACAAAAUUUGAGAUUUUGAGAGUAUUUAGAUCAAAUUUGACAAAUUGGAGAAUGGUAUGAGUAUAAGGGAUGAAAAUAUGUCUAUGGGCAAUUUUUCAGUUUUUGGGGCAAAAAUGUGAUUUUUGACUUUUACGGGGGUAAAAGUGUAAAUUUCAAAAAUUACUCCACCAAGACUUUGGAUAAGUUUGAGAAUUUUAUCUAAGCUAUGGAUAUGUGGGACAAGUGUAUGGUGAAAAUUUCGAAACCAAUGGAUUGCUAGAAUUUAAGGAAUUAAUAAAACUUUAAAAAAAUGAAUAAAAUAAUAUUAUAUUAUUUUAGCCUUUAAAAAGGUGAAAAUUCCAGAAUUCUCAUCUUCUUCAGCUGUCCAAACCAGGGGAGAAAAGGGGGAAAAAAACAAAUAAGAACCCUACCUGAAAAUUUGGGGAAAAUCAAGAGAAAUCAAGAAAUCAAGCAUUAAAAAGGUAAAUUUCAUUGAUUUUCCUUGUGAUUUUCACUACCCAUGCAUUUUUUUCUCAUUUCCAUGCAAAAUUAGAAAGUGGGUAUGGACACCCAUGCUGGCCAAACCUCCAUGGAUGAGUUUUGAACUUGAUUUUUGGUUGAUUUUAAUUGAAUUAAGUGAUUUUAGUUAAGUUAUAUUGAAAUAUAGCAAAAAUAAGCUAGAGAUAUAAUUUUCUCCCAUUGAAACCCAUUAUGCCGAAUUUUCUAGGGGAAUAUUGGCUGCUGAUCUUGAUGUUUAUUUGAGGAAUUAUGAUGAAUAAUGAUGAAUUAUGAGCCUAGAAAAAUAAUGGGAAUUUUCGGAGCAAAAAUAUAAAUUUUUACCCACUAGGGGUAUUUUCGUAAUUUGCUAUCGAGACUGAUAAUUUGCACCACACUGAGGGACAUUAAGUCAAUUUGGGUGCAAUUGAGGUAUAGAAACUGAAAAAAAUUAAUUUGGAGUUUAAACGGACGCGUAUAUCGAUUUAUCGGGUAAAAGACCGAAAUAGGCUAACACCGCAUUUAGGCAAAAAUUUAGACAUUUUUGCAUUCCAUAUCAAGCAUUAGUAGUCUAAAUUAGUUUAAUUUCAAUUUAGUACCAAUGUGGUGAAUUUCUCGAUUUUGUACUGUGUCAAGGUGGUGAGUCCUCCGAUAAAGGCAAGGGAAUUGCACCCGAGGACCAAUAGUCUGAGUAUUUCGAAAAUCCUCACUCUAGACACGGUGAGUAACCUUACCAUCAUUUUAAUUAUCUAAAGUAUGUUUUUAUUCGGUUUUGGUGAAUUUUAUGAAAAUGAGUUCAAAUGGUAAAUUUUUAUGUUUUGUAAACAAAAUGAGUUUAAAUGAAAAUAUUUUAUAAAUUGUCUUGAAACGAAAUAACGAUUUUGAAAAUAGAGUAAUUGGAGACCACUGAUAUGUUGUAAAUUUAAAAUUGAAUUAAUGGCUUAUGUUAUUGUAUUGGCAUGACUGGCUGGGCUGUGUUUUUUAUGAAUUGUAUGAAUUGCUUUAUUUUACCCUUGCAGGCUGGGUAGUAAUAUAUUAGCCCUGUCAUGCUGUCAAAAUUUUAUUGUAUGGUGGGUUUGACCUGCUGCAGUGGGCUGGAUUCUGUGGACUAGCCUAUUAGAGGGGCACGGAAUCCUGUUAUAUUUUUACCUCGGUUGGAGAGGCGAGUAGGGUAACUCCUGAGGUAUAACUUUUAGAGUUCACUUCACGCCAAACCACCUCGUGAAGGGGAACUCGGCCAACGUCAAGGAAUGGCUAUGUUUUCAAAAUAAAAACAUGACUUUCUAAUAGCCUUGGCGGACUCAGUUGGGAUAGCCCUCGGCCAAGGUAUCCCAAAUAACUGAGUAUGAUAAUAAUUUUUGGCAUGAGCCAAGCUUUUUAAGAAAUUCAUAAGCCAUACUGAUUACUUGCUUUAAAUAAAUUGAUUUCAUUUGGUUGAAAUAAGUUGAAAGAUGAUAAAUUACAGUUUGAUGAAAUGUUUUAAUAGUCUCCUUUUACUCGACUUUAGAUAUUUUGAGUGAUGUUUGUUUACUCACUGGGAUUUUAUAAUCUCACCACCCUCAUUUCCACCCAUUUCAGGCUCAGAAUAGAUUGUAGAUAACUGAUAUCGGCGAGGAUUACAGUUGAACUUGCCACAUCCAAAGACUGUAGGUUCAUUUCUUUUGAUACUUUUGGUCAUUCGUGGGCCCACGUGUCACUGUAAAUUAAAUUCUAUACUUUGGUUAUCUGUAUUACGGUAUGUAAGAAUUUAUUUUGCUUUUACGCUAUAAAAAUUAUUUAUGCAGUGUUCUUAAAAUAUCGUUUUAUGUGAAAAUUGAAUAUUUUAUUUAAUAUUUUUAUUUUAUUAUAACAGUCAUAAUUCCAUUUUAAACGAAUGUUUUAGACAUCCAAAAUUAUUUUUGAUUAUGAAAUAUGUGUUUUCCACUUACAUACUAUAUUUUUAGAUGAUUUUGAGAUUUUUGGGAUAAAUGACCAAAAUACCCCUGUGAGACGAAAAUUAUUAUUUUAUUUGUUUAAGUUGGAAACAGUUUAAAAUCUUUUAGAAUGUGGUAUUUGGAAACAGUUACCCACAGGGGAAAUGAGAAGCUGAUAUUAAAGCCUUGCGGGGUUUCGGUUGACAUUCCGGGUAAUGAAUGUCGAUCGAAACAUCGCGGCGGUUGUCACGGGCUCGAUGGGAGUUCCGGGUCGUGACAAUUAAGUUGGUAUCAGAGCUGUUGGUUUGAAAGAUUAGAGUUUUGGGUUUAAAGUUAUUUUAAAGCUGUUUUAAAAAUUUACAGUGUCAGUGUGGCCCCGAGUUAAGUUAGGUUAGGUUGAAUAAAAUACAUGCAUAAGCAUAUAGAGCCUGAGGUUGCCUAAACUCACUUUGUUCCCUCUUAGAGAUUAUUAUGUCUCCUCGACGCGAACAACCACCUUUCACUAGAUCAGUUGGGAGGGGAAAAGGUCGUUUCCAACGUCGUUAGUUAGGUGCAAUAGAGGAGGAAUCGACUGCAUCCACCAUUCGGGUAGCACCUGCUGCUGAAUAGACCGAGACUCCUCCACAUCCUCCACCUCCUCUGCCACUUACUAGUAUUCCUGCUAUGCCUUUUGAGGCAGUUCAGGCAUUUAGCAGCCUUCUUUACUACUAUUGCUGGCCAGGCUCAGGCUGGUCAAGCUCUUCCUACAGUUCCUCUAGCUACUCCUUCAGUACCACCAUCCCCACCUCCUGUCCCACCACCAGUGCUGGAUGUUUCUGAUUCUAAGAAGCUUAAAAAGGCUAGGCAACAUGGUUGUGUUUCUUUUAUGGGUGAGUCGGACGCAACCGUGGCUAAAGAGGUGGUGCAAAUGGCUUUAAGAGCUGAGAAACUUGCGAAUGAAAAUAGGAGUCUGCGAGCUGAGUUAGCAAAAAGGAGAAAUCUGAGUGUAUCUUCUAGUCAGCCACCAAAAAGGGGCAAAGACUCCUCUGUUUCAGGAAGUUCACGUAGAUGCAGAAAUUGUGGGAAUUAUCAUGUUGGGCCGUGCAGAGGGCCUGCACGAUGUUUUCGUUGUGAUCAACCGGGUCAUAUUAGGAGAGAUUGCCCACAGUUAGGACGGGCUACGGUAGCUGUUCCAUCUCCACCAGCUCAUACGGAUAUGCAGAGGAGAGAUUCCUCUGGAUUACAACCGAGACAGGGAUGAUUUUGAUAUACCACCAAGGGUAGAUUAAAUAUGUUGAAAUUAGUGCUCUAAUAAAGUACAUAUGAUAGAAAGCUAGUUUGUAAGUUGUAGUUUUCAUGAUCAUGAAAUAUAUAAAGAUUAUCAAUAUAUGGACAUACAUUCGGAGUUGUAAUUUACAAGUUUGAAGUAUUUAAGAUAUGAUUAAAUGGAAUUAGCAUUAGUUAAGGUACGUAAAUCUUUUAAUUAAUUUCUAUGGAGUAUGCAUGAUAGUAGAAUGGAGGAACAUCGUGCAGUGAUGCUAUAUGGUGAAAUCACUAUACAAUAUGGAAAGGGUAUUUUCGAGUGGGAUUUAUUGACUGAUGAUAAGUAAUGAGCAAUUUGAGAUACAUGUAGCUAUGAAUAAAUUUGGAGAUUUUUGCUUAAGCAAACUUGUAUUAAAUGUUAUGGUAAAGAUAUAUGAAUGCUAGUAGCAAAAUAAAUACGUUAAAUCAAUGUUUUGAUCGCACACUUGUGAUAGAAAGUUAGUCUUGCUAAUUAUGGUAUAGACUCGAAGGGAAGCCACACGAUUGUGAAUAAUUGAGGUAGUAGCUUUAAAGGUUGAAGAGUUGCUAAGAUAAAGUGAAUUCAAACCGUUGCAACGCCACAGUUCUGACUAUUAAACGCUGUCACGUUAAGAACUCCUAAUGGCUAGAAAGCAAGAGCAAAUUGAGAGUGGCAUGAAGAUGAAACUCACAAGUUGAAGAAUGGUCAUUGGUUUUCAUGCUAAGCUUUGUUGUUUGGAGUCUUAAGUGCAUUGGGAGGUAUUAAGAUAAAGAUGAUGAGUGAAAUUGCAGAGUUUUUUUUUUAUUGCCUUAUAUAUAUUGGCAUGUAAGAGAAAGAAAAGUUAGAGAAUUUUUGAGAUGGCUACAUAAAAAUAAAUUAACAUGUGGAGUGUUAAGAUGAAUAAUAUGAUGACUGAAGUCAAAUCUUAAGAAAUAAAGAAGACAAGAGAUUAAGUCUUGUUAAAGACUAAAGAGGAAGCGAGCGAAAGGUUAGAUGAAUGUAUGAGAUACUGAUAAGAGAUGUCAAUAGCAAGUGAGGAAAAUGUAAAUAAAGAUUUCAAUAAUGAUAUAGCAAAUGAGUUUAUAUAGAAUAUUGUUAUGAGAAUAUACUGAUCUUGUCUUGACCUUGUUGAAAGGAAAGGAUUAGUAACAACACAAGUAAACUAGGUGACAUGCUAGAAACCCAUGGAGAUAAAUUGAAGCAUGAGUAGUUGGGCAUGCCUUUAUGGAAAUGAUAUACUUGGUGUAUAAAAGAGUAAAUAAGUGAUUAAGUGUUUCAAGAAUGUUUAAACGCCCUUGAGAAAGAAUUAUAAGUUAUACAUGAUGAGCAUAAGAUGCGUGACUUUGAAACUUGCUAAGGAGCCAAAUGGCUAAGUUACGGGUUAAAUGAUCAUAUGUUGUGAGACAUAAAUUUAAAAUAAAUAUCCCUAAGGAAAUACUCAAGAGAAGUUCUGCCAUGGAUCUUGUGAAAGCAAGCACUAAGUUAUGUAGUUAUAAAAAGGAAGCUAUAAGCUGAGAGUGGUAUAAGUAUUAACAUUAAAAAGUACUUGAGGAGAAUUUAGUUUCAAGUCUUGUAAUUUCAAGUACAAUUUGUAAAUUAGUUAAGGAAGAAUGAUGUUAUAUUCAUAUGAAAGAGUGGAAUAAAGGAUGAUAGAAGUUAACCUUGAUAAUGAAGUCAGAUAAUGAAACUUUCUUAAUAUAUUAUGGGAAUUGGAAUUCGAAAAUGCGUGAGGCAUACAUGAUUCAAAUGAAUCUGAGUUUUAAGUGACAAAUCAAUAUCGAAAUGCAAUAAGGAUACAAUAUAUAGGAGACAUGAAGGAUAAUCGAGGAAUAAGGAUGACUUUUAGGAAUUGUAGUAUUGCAUAAGAUGCAAUGAUCAAGUCAAGAUAAAUUUUUGAGAUACCAAUGGGAUUAUAAAACAUACACGCAUAAUAGAUUAUAAUUCAAUGGAGAUGACAUUGUGAUGCAAUGAUAUACAGUACAAGGAAACUUAAGCAUAUAAUUGGAAACGAUAAGAAGAGAAUAUAAGUAUAUAAAUGAUGAGGAACUAUGCACAGGCAUGAUGAGAAUUUGUAUGAAUUAUGAAGAUUAUUCUAUUGAAUCUUGAUUGUGGAUGGGAAUGAAUUAAGAGAAAUUAGUCUGAAGGCAUUUGAAAACAGAGACUCGUAUACAUAAUGAGGAAUAUAGACAUUUGAAUGUAUAUGUAUAUGUAUGUGUGGAGUAGUGAUGUACCCAACUAAAAUGAAUAAUGGUUUUAGUGGUUCGAGAUUUGAACUCAAUAUAUUUGAUGAGUUGUAUAGAUAAUGUAACGAUUAAGAAUCUUAUCAGAAGACGAUUUAUGGUGACCUAAGGAAUUUUGGAGAAAUAGUUAAGGGAAUAUAAUCUAUAGUACGAUUAAGCCAUAUGAGAUGGAUUAAUAGGAUUAAGAAGAUUGAAAUUUCCUAAAUGCAAAGUAAACAUGAAAUAUGUAGAAAUAAUUAAAGCCAUUAAUUUUCCCGAACGCUGAGGAUAUGUACAGGAAUGAGUAUGGCGUGUUAAUGAUAUUGUAAACUACACAAUAGUGUAUGAGGAUAGGAUGAAUGAAUGAAAGUCGAGAAGUUUGAUAUGGAAUGAAGUAAUAAGAUAGUGAUUGGUAUACCUAAAUAAGAAUAAAAUGCGAUCGAAAUUGGUAUGAUUGAGAUGGAGUUAUGGUUCAAGCUUAAUGAUAGUAAUAGAAGCAUGCUUGGUGUCUCGAUAUAAGAGAUCAUAAUUGUGAAGGUUAUUGUUGAUAUGAUUUUAAAGGAUAAUAAUAGACAUAAGCGAAGUACUUGAGUUGAAUUGGAGGUAAAUGAGGUGAACAAAUCGAAAUUCCCUAUAAAGGGGAGGACAUAAGAAGUCGAGCAUUAGAUGAGAAAACAAUACCCCCACCUUUUCUCUAAGUUCAGUACAUGAAAUUUUGAGGUCAAAAUUUUAUUUUAAGGGGGGUAGUGUUGUCAAGCCCGACCUUAUAAAAUACUUUCCAUGUCAUUCAUAUGAUUGACAAUAUGCUUGCAUACUUGGAAAGCCCCGAAAGAAAAAUCGUUAAAAGACGACAAUGUACCAAAUGGUACAAUUAAGUUAAUUUAAGCCUCGAACUAGAUCAAAUAGAGAAUUUAAAAUGAAAUUAAGAAUAUUAAAGUCCCAGAAUGGUUUAAUAUGGUGAUUUGGAGUUCGAGGAUCAAUUUGGAGUCAAACCAGAAUUUUUACUGUCCAGGGGCAAAAUGGUCAUUUGCCACCCAAGGACACAAUGGGAAUUUUUAGAAAAGAAUUUUUUUAGCCCCAUUUGACUUAUUGGAGUAUGAUUUGAGUAUUGGAGUAUAAUUUGAGGGUUUGGCAGUGAAAAAGUUUAAUUCCAGUGAUUUCUAGAGUGUAGGGGCAAAAUCGUAAUUUUGCCACCCGCGGACAAAAUUUGAGAUUUUGAGAGAAUUUAGAUCAAAUUUGACAAAUUGGAGAAUGGUAUGAGUAUAAGGGAUGAAAAAUAUGUCUAUGGGCAAUUUUUCAAUUUUUGGGGCAAAAAUGUAAUUUUUGACUUUUACGGGGGUAAAAGUGUAAAUUUCAAAAAUUACUCCACCAAGACUUUGGAUAAGUCUGAGAAUUUUAUCUAAGCUAUGGAUAUGUGGGACAAGUGUAUGGUGAAAAUUUGGAAACAAAUGGAUGGCUAGAAUUUAAGGAAUUAAUAAAACAUUAAAAAAAUGAAUAAAAUAAUAUUAUAUUAUUUUAGCCUUUAAAAAGGUAAAAAUUCCAGAAUUCUCAUCUUCUUCAGCUGUCCAAACCAGGGGAGAAAAGGGGGAAAAAAACAAAUAAGAACCCUACCUGAAAAUUUGGGGAAAAUCAAGAGAAAUCAAGAAAUCAAGCAUUGAAAAGGUAAAUUUCAUUGAUUUUCCUUGUGAUUUUCACUACCCAUGCAUUUUUUUCUCAUUUCCAUGCAAAAUUAGAAAGUGGGUAUGGACACCCAUGCUGGCCAAACCUCCAUGGAUGAGUUUUGAGCUUGAUUUUUGGUUGAUUUUAAUUGAAUUAAGUGAUUUUAGUUAAGUUAUAUUGAAAUAUAGCAAAAAUAAGCUAGAGAUAUAAUUUUCUCCCAUUGAAACCCAUUAUGCCGAAUUUUCUAGGGGAAUAUUGGCUGCUGAUCUUGAUGUUUAUUUGAGGAAUUAUGAUGAAUAAUGAUGAAUUAUGAGCCUAGAAAAAUAAUGGGAAUUUUCGGAGCAAAAAUAUAAAUUUUUACCCACUAGGGGUAUUUUCGUAAUUUGCUAUCGGGACUGAUAAUUUGCACCACACUGAGGGACAUUAAGUCAAUUUGGGUGCAAUUGAGGUAUAGAAACUGAAAAAAAUUAAUUUGGAGUUUAAACGGACGCGUAUAUCGAUUUAUCGGGUAAAAGACCGAAAUAGGCUAACACCGCAUUUAGGCAAAAAUUUAGACAUUUUUGCAUUCCAUAUCAAGCAUUAGUAGUCUAAAUUAGUUUAAUUUCAAUUUAGUACCAAUGUGGUGAAUUUCUCGAUUUUGUACUGUGUCAAGGUGGUGAGUCCUCCGAUAAAGGCAAGGGAAUUGCACCCGAGGACCAAUAGUCUGAGUAUUUCGAAAAUCCUCACUCUAGACACGGUGAGUAACCUUACCAUCAUUUUAAUUAUCUAAAGUAUGUUUUUAUUCGGUUUUGGUGAAUUUUAUGAAAAUGAGUUCAAAUGGUAAAUUUUUAUGUUUUGUAAACAAAAUGAGUUUAAAUGAAAAUAUUUUAUAAAUUGUCUUGAAACGAAAUAACGAUUUUGAAAAUAGAGUAAUUGGAGACCACUGAUAUGUUGUAAAUUUAAAAUUGAAUUAAUGGCUUAUGUUAUUGUAUUGGCAUGACUGGCUGGGCUGUGUUUUUUAUGAAUUGUAUGAAUUGCUUUAUUUUACCCUUGCAGGCUGGGUAGUAAUAUAUUAGCCCUGUCAUGCUGUCAAAAUUUUAUUGUAUGGUGGGUUUGACCUGCUGCAGUGGGCUGGAUUCUGUGGACUAGCCUAUUAGAGGGGCACGGAAUCCUGUUAUAUUUUUACCUCGGUUGGAGAGGCGAGUAGGGUAACUCCUGAGGUAUAACUUUUAGAGUUCACUUCACGCCAAACCACCUCGUGAAGGGGAACUCGGCCAACGUCAAGGAAUGGCUAUGUUUUCAAAAUAAAAACAUGACUUUCUAAUAGCCUUGGCGGACUCAGUUGGGAUAGCCCUCGGCCAAGGUAUCCCAAAUAACUGAGUAUGAUAAUAAUUUUUGGCAUGAGCCAAGCUUUUUAAGAAAUUCAUAAGCCAUACUGAUUACUUGCUUUAAAUAAAUUGAUUUCAUUUGGUUGAAAUAAGUUGAAAGAUGAUAAAUUACAGUUUGAUGAAAUGUUUUAAUAGUCUCCUUUUACUCGACUUUAGAUAUUUUGAGUGAUGUUUGUUUACUCACUGGGAUUUUAUAAUCUCACCACCCUCAUUUCCACCCAUUUCAGGCUCAGAAUAGAUUGUAGAUAACUGAUAUCGGCGAGGAUUACAGUUGAACUUGCCACAUCCAAAGACUGUAGGUUCAUUUCUUUUGAUACUUUUGGUCAUUCGUGGGCCCACGUGUCACUGUAAAUUAAAUUCUAUACUUUGGUUAUCUGUAUUACGGUAUGUAAGAAUUUAUUUUGCUUUUACGCUAUAAAAAUUAUUUAUGCAGUGUUCUUAAAAUAUCGUUUUAUGUGAAAAUUGAAUAUUUUAUUUAAUAUUUUUAUUUUAUUAUAACAGUCAUAAUUCCAUUUUAAACGAAUGUUUUAGACAUCCAAAAUUAUUUUUGAUUAUGAAAUAUGUGUUUUCCACUUACAUACUAUAUUUUUAGAUGAUUUUGAGAUUUUUGGGAUAAAUGACCAAAAUACUCCUGUGAGACGAAAAUUAUUAUUUUAUUUGUUUAAGUUGGAAACAAUUUAAAAUCUUUUAGAAUGUGGCAUUUGGAAACAGUUACCCACAGGGGAAAUGAGAAGCUAAUAUUAAAGCCUUGCGGGGUUCCGGUUGACAUUCCGGGUAAUGAAUGUCGAUCGAGACGUCACGACGGUUGUCACAGGCUCGAUGGGAGUUCCGGGUCGUGACAACCUCGAUAUUGAGACUAACAAGAAUAACCAAUAUCAUAAUGGAAAUGUGGACUUAGACGAGGUCAUCAAUUUGUUAUGCAACCUAGGUACUGCAUGGAAAACAUUAAAAGGGGUUUCAGUGUCAUUCAAGGCUAGUGGUAUGACAAAUAACUUUAAGGUUUGGUAUCACUUCUUGGUAGCCAAAAUGCUUCCAGUUAAGUACCUCAACGACGUUACUAAGGAUAAAGCAAUGUUGCUCUAUGCCAUCCUCUCAAGUAAAUCCAACAAUUUUGAUCAAUUGAUUUUCAAUAACAUAGUUUAUACUACUCGUUCAAUUAAAGAUGGCCCAUGGUACCCGUCACUCAUCACUACACUGUGCAAGCAAGUCGGCGCGUAGUGGACUAACAAUGAGGAGCUUUGGCAUCUGUAAGUUCCUUUAGAUGCUGGUGGUGGGAGUUCAUCCUUUGUUCCAAGACCUCCACCGUGCUAGACAAAUUUCACCAUCUUAAAAAGAAUGGAGCAUCUAAAAUGCCACAUGGCGCAUCAAGCAAAGUGUAAAAGAAUGAUGGAGUAGAUGUUCAGGGCCUACACGCACCAUAUGGGGAUGAACAUGUCCAGCUUUCCUAUAAUGCCAGAUGACCCCAACACUGAUGAGGAUGAGGAAAGGUGAACCAGGGGAAGUAUUCUCUUCUUUAUUUUAGUAACAUUGGGGACAAUGUUAGCUUUAAGUUUAGGGGGGGAUUUUUUAGUUUGAAGCUUUGUUUGUUUCGUUUUACAUUUAGACUUUAAGUUUAGUUAAGUUUUUCUUCAGUAAAUUUUACACUAGAGUUAGUUGCGCCAAUAUAUUUGAUUCACUUAUCCAAUGAUGAUAAUCGAUUAUCUUGUUAAUCUUUUGCUCAUAGUAAGCAUGAAUAUUGUUUGAGUGUUAUGUGAAUUCUUAUGUAAGCAUCAUGAUAGGAUGAGAUUUUCAUAAUUGACGAUUAUAUCUCUUGUAUUAAAGUAUUAUGUACCUUUAGAGAAAGAUUAUGUAAAUGUAAAUUUUUAAACCAUGUUUAGAGUUUUAGAAUUUUUUUGACUCUUCUUUGAGGCAAAAUCUUAGGCUAUACUUAGUUAGGAACAUGACUUAGGCCAUCCUUGGACCGAUUGAGUGCUUCAAGCUAACCUAGUUACAUUUUUAUUCUUAGUAUACCCUUUUGAGCUUAAAUUGUCCCUUUUCUUUGAUUAAACACAUGAAUAAAUUAGCUUAGCCUUUGAGAAAUUUUUCAAUUUUACAACCCUCUCUCCUAAGCAUAUAUAUUGUUUUAGGAAAGGUAUGUUGAGAGAUUUGAUGAAAAAGUGGAAAAAAUGAAGUGUAGAGAAAAAUGAAAAAUUUUUGUGAAGCAUGCAGCCCACUACCAAUGAAAGAAACAGGUUUGGGGGUAUUGAAUUGAAAAUAAAAACAAUGUUUGUUGAAUGAAAAGUGAAAGGAAAAUAAAAAAGUAGACUCGUUGAAGAAAAAUAAGGUUAUAUAGGUUCUACAACAAUUAGAUGCUUAGGGUGAUUUGAGCUACAUAUUGCCCCACAUCUUUCUUUGACCCUAGCCACACGUUACAUGCCAAAUGUAGUCCUAAGGAUCCUUGAUUAAGUGCUAGCUUACAUUAGUAGAAAAAGAGGUGAAAAGCAAACAUAUGAAACUCUAAACUCAUUUGAAGUUUGCAUGAGCAUAAAUCUAUUCAGCAUGAUAUUCAUUGUAAGAGAUUUCACACACACACGGGAAUCCAUUCGAAAAUGAGCUUGCAUUUGAAUGUAAUGUGAACUUUGAUAAUAUUUUUGUUUUGCUUUGAGAUUGUAAAACGAGAUAAUUUAUGAGGAAAGUAAAGGUGAUCAAUGACUUGGUGCAACCUAUUUCUAGUUUGAUGUUUUCAAUUUUGUUAUGUUAUUUUUAUCUUAGGUUCUGCUUAAGGACUAGCAGCAUUGUAAGUUUGGGAGUGUGAUAAUUCUAUUAUAUAGAGUCAUUUUGCCAUAAUUUGAUUACUGAAAAUAUUUAAGUCAUUGUGUUUUAAGUUAAUUUUAGGUAGUUUUUAUGUUUUUUGUUAUUAAGUUUAAUGCAUGUUGAACUACUUUAAUUUGAGUAAUUUUAGAUCAGUUUCAUGUUAAAAGUUCUAAAUUGAGCCAUUGCUGAUUUCAUCUUUGUUUUGAAGGUUCUCAAGUGUGUAAAGAUUUCUGAACGUGAACCGCACAAGGAUGGCUAUGUGCAAAUUUUUAUUGAACAUGAUGCAGUAUUUUGGGUAUAACUCACACUAAAGAAGUCUGAUUGAUGAGAUUCUUGAACCAAUAGAAAGAUAAGAAGAAAGGCUACAAAUUUAAUGUUUUUCCUAGUUUUGAUCAGAUCAUAGUCAAAAAACUUGUCAAAUCUAAACACUGUAGCAACCUGCAUAAGGGGAAAACAUAGAACUUAGCACCGUAGCACUGAAAUGCAAAGAGCAUUGAAACUAAAUGGUUUAAGCCGUGGUGCUAGUGCAACUAUUUUUUCUCUUUAUAUUUCGAGUUUUGAUUUUAUAGGGCUUUUUGAUGGUUUAUAAAUAGAUCUUUUUCAAUAAAGAAUCAGAGGGAACUUAGUGGUAGCUUUUUUCAGAGAUAAAGAGUGAUUUUGUAUAAAAGAAAAACGAGAAGAAAGCAAAAGAAGUGAAGAUUGGAUUCGAUAGAAAUCUUUUUCUUUUGUUGUGAACAUGAAUUAUUUUGAUGAAAUUAUGUUGUUUGCUUCCGUUGUUAUGAGUUAAACUAUUUUUCUAGGAUUGUGGUGGAUUUCAACAUGUAAUAUGAAUAUUUGUUUCUUUGUUAUUUAUUUUGAAUGGGUAUAGUUAUGUUUAUUCAAAUUUGUUCGUAAAGCUUUUUAUUGUCUAGCCAAUAAUUGAAUGAUUUGUGAAUCUGAAUGAGACUCGAUAAAGUAAUUUUAUAUUAGACUAAGUUUUGAAUAAUGUAUGUUCACGUCACUUAAGGGAUCGGUGAUCUGAUUUGCAAUUAGGGUUGACAUACGCCUAAAUUUCGCACAUAGUCAAAUUAGAACACUAGCUUAAUAAACCAUAUUUAACUGUUUACUAUAGACAUAUAGUAACCCAAUUAAGUUAGGUAUUUGUAUAAUCAUCUCAAAAGAGACUUGUGCAUAGGUUUGGAUUUUAGGCUAGCAUAACCACCCAUGAAUAUAAAUACUGAGAGAAACGAAUUUUAGAUGAAAUGUUGAAUGAACCUACAAUCCUAGAUUUUAAUCUAUUGCCUCUCUAGUGAAGUUUUAGUUUUUGUUAAUUAGUUUAGUGUUUGAUUAAAUUUAGAAAAAAUUGAUUUUCUACAAAAUCGAGUUACUUAAACAAGAUUAAUUUGGCAUAAAUUUAGUACUUAGUGAAAAAUUAAGAGCAAAUCCUUGUGGGAUACAAUUUUGGACUUACUGUCUAUAUUAUUUUUCGAUACGUAUACUUGCAUGUAUUAAAUUGCAACAUUUGGUGUAUAUAAUAUUUACUAGUUAUUGUUGUCGAAUUUUCAUGUAAGUAUACGUUAUUGAAAAACAAGUAAUAUAAUGAUAAGUAAGAGUAUUGUUCCCACAGGGAUUUGUUCCUAAAUUUUUACUAAGUACUAAAAUAUUAUAAUAAAUCAAUCUUAUUUAAGCAACCAAAAUUUUUAGAAAAUUAAUUAAAAAAAAUUUAAAAUAAACACAAAGUUAACUAGCAGAAAGUAAAUAUAUUUGAGAAAAACAAUAGACUCAAGACCUAAAAUUAUGGGUUCAUUAAACACUUCAUCUGUUACCAACUUCUCUUAUUAUUUAUCUUUUCUAGGUGGUUUUACUAAUUUAGAAUCCAAAGCUAUGUGCAAGUCUCCAUCGAGAUGCUUGCAAAAAUACUUAACUUAAUUAGUUCACUAUAUGUCUAUAGGAAUCAAUUAAAUUAAGUUCAUUCAGCUAGUGUUCUAAUUUGGCUAUGUGUGACAAUUGGCGUAUGUCUACCCAAAUCGCAAAUCAAAUCACCUGAGUGACGUGAACAUACACUAUUCAAAUCUUAGUCCAAUCUAAAAUCUCUUUAUCGAGUCUCAAUCAGAUUCACAAAUCAAUUAAUUGUUAAUCAGGCAAUUAAAGGCACUAAGAAUAUAUUUGAAUAAACAAAACUAUACCCAUUUAUGGUAAAUAAAAAAGAAACUAAUAUUCAAACUACAUGCUGAAAUCCACCAUAAUACUAGAAAAACAAAUUAGUUCAUGAUAACUAAUAAAACAAUAUCCAAAGCAAUUUAACCAUGAAUUAAAACCAAGAAAAUAAGUAUAACACAAAAGAGAGAAUUAAACUAAUGUUGAAGAUUUGUUGAUCUCGAAUCUCUCUCAAUUUCUCAUGAUUCCUUGCUUGAUUCUUAGCUCCAAAUCUUCAAAAAACUGCUGACGUUCCCUCCUUUGAAUGCUCUAAAAAAGUCAUUUUUGUAGUUUCAAGUUAACCUAAUUUUUAUAUUUCCAUCAAAAUUGUUUUUUGGAAAACAUCGUGGCGCCCUGGCCAUGCUUCCUUCACGUCGAGGCACCAUGGUUGUCUUUUGUGGCGCCGUAGCACUUCAGUGUCACGAGGCUCUAGCCUCAAGAGUUUUUAUGGUGCACUCCAACUGUCCAACAUUGCGGCCAUGAUCUUCCCAUUGCUGCGACCCUAACUCCUUUAGCACUGUAGCCUUGAGUAACUGAAGGCCACAGCUUCCAACCAACAUGUUGCCUUGUGCAAAACUACAACCAUCCUUCGUUUUCCAAUGUGAUUUUCACCUUGAUUGGAUCUGAGUUGGGCAAAGUGGUAAACAUGAAAGUUGUAGCCUGUUCUCUUAUCUUUCCAAUGGAUUAAGAAUCUCAUCAAUUAAACUUCUAUAGCUCAAGUUAUCUUUGAAAUAUUGAAGCAUAUAUGAAUGAAGCUUUCACAAUACUUGUGCGAUUUUAACUCAAAUAAACCUUUCUCAUCAAAUAUCCUACAAAAGCCAUUAGAGAAAUCAACAAUUUCUCAAAGUAAAUUAAAGAAAAUAAAGUAAAAUUAAAUUAAAAUAACUUAAACUAACUACUUAACAUGUAAUUAACUUAAACUAGAAAAAUAAUUAAAAUACUAAAAUUCGAACCUAAAAUCUCAAAGAUCUAGCUACUUAAGCACCCAAAAUGUGUCACAAUAACUUUAUAUAAUAGAGUUAUUAUUUAUGAUUGAAAUGGUUAGUCAAAUAGGUUAGAUGGUUGUUGAGAUAAAUUAGAUGAAAAUUAAGAAGUCAAUAUUUGUGCUCAUUUGUAGUAACUCAAUUCUAAAGAAUUUUUUCUUUUAGGCAUAACAAUAGGCGACACUACAAGAAAACUAAAAUAUACAUUUUAAAACAUUAAAUUUAGGGGAUCCUUUGGCAACAGGACACCAAAUUAUUUUAGUCCAUUUCCUGCCCAAAAUUUCAAGAACCAAAAAAUCCAAAAAAAAAAAAGAUCGACGAGAUUGUAAGUGGGGGGUUCUAAAGAUAUGUCGGUCAAACAUGCUUUGUCAAAGAAGAUUAAGGGAUUUCAAUAACAAAAGAGGGAGAUUUGCAAAAUACAAAUGCAUUGAGAUGUAUUGACUUAUUCUAGAACUGAUAAUGUCUUGGAUUGGCUCAUGGUUCAAUGUCAAACUCCAAACUAUUCAUCCCUUUUACUUUGUUGUGUUUGAUUGAUAUUGAAAUCUACCCUCAUUGAACCUAGGAGACACUUAGACGCUUCUCUGUUCCACACACUUUUCUUUUUGUUUUUUUUGCUGCGCUAUUUAUUUUUCUGCAAACAGAGCUUGCAAGCUAUUGAAAAGAUGGAAGAAACAAAAGAAAAAAUAAUUUCCCCUGGUGAUUACAUACAUACAAUGAAAGUAAUAGAAGACAUUGAAAAAAAAAGCUAAACCAGCAACCAUGUGACAUUUCUUAGUAAAUGUGUAUAUAUAUAUGUAUAUAUAUACGUAUAUAUAUACGUAUUCUAAUGUAUUUUCUUCAAUCAUUUAGGUUUCUUUGCUGCACGCAUGAAGCUAUAGGAGAUUUUGAUGUUCAAAUUAGUUGAAGAAAGUAUUCUUUUAAAGCAAGUCAUGUCAAGCCCUACUCUAUUAUAUACUUGUCAUGUCAUUCAUGUGCUUGAUAGAAUGUUUGCAUAAGUGAAUGUAUCAAAAAAUCGUUAAAAGUCGGUAUCGUACCUAGUGGUACAAUUAAGUUGAUUAAAGUCUCGAACUAGGCCAAAUAAAGAUUUUACGAUGUAUUUGAGAGUUAUUGAAUCUUAGAAUGUCUUAAUAUAAUGAUUCAAAAUUUGAGGAUUGAUUUAGAGUUAAUUCAAGAAUUUUCAUAACGUAGGGGCAAAAUGGUCAUUUUGCCACCCAAGGGCAAAAUUGGAAUGUUGGAUGAUAUUUUGACUAAAUUUGAUUAAUUAGAGCAUUAUUUGAAUUUGACAAGUGAGAAAUUUCAAUUUCGACAUUUUUCCAAACAUAGGGGCAAAACGGUCAUUUUAAGUGUCCAUAAGGGCGAAAUUGGAAAUUUUAGAAUUUUACACCACCAUGACACUUGUCAAACCCAUAAAUUUCACCCAUUAUUUUUUUAAGUGAGAGAUUAUAUGUGGUGGGAAUGAAUGCUUAAUUGUUAAGGUUUUAAACAUGGACCAAUUAAAAGGUGACAAGUGUCAGCUUUAAUAUUACUUUAAUUGCCUCUAUAUACUCACUUAAAACCCUCACAUUCACACUCUUAUGGCUGGCGAAGCAAGGGAACAAAGAGAAAAAGAGAAGAACAAACCCAAGGAAGGAAAAAUUCAAGAGAAAUUGUUGGAUUUCAAGGAAUCAAACAAGUAAAGGUAAGAUUUUUUAAUUUUAGCUUGUGAUCUACCUUUCCCAUGCAUUCUUUUUCAUUCUCCAUGGCUGAAAUUCAAGUUUUCAAGAGGGAACCUUUGCUGGCCAAACCUAGAGAGUGAAGUUUUGGUGAUGAAUUUUGCUAGAUUUCAUAAUAUCCUAGUGUUUUUAGUCAUUUUGUGAUGUUUGAAAGGAAAAACAAGCAAGAAAAUCACAUGUUCUUCAACCACCCUCAUUUGGCAGAAUUUUCUAUAGGGCAUGUUGUUGAUGGAUUUGGUUGUAAAUCAUGUUAUUUAGCUAGGAAUUGAUGAAUUAUGGUAUCGGAUAUCAAAAUCGAAAUGAAUUUCAGUUACGAUGAAUUAAGUCACAAUUAAGCUCAUUGAGGUACUUUGGUGUAUUUGGAAUUUUGGAAGUGUAAUGAAGAUAUUUGGAGUUGAAUUGGAUGUUUUGGCUAAUUAAACAAGGCAUAGUGCGAGUUAGGUCGAAUGCCAAUUCAGUCCGAUCAUAAUUGAACUCACGUAGAACACCGUCUUUAAAUGAUUAUUCGGACAAUUCUCAUUCAAUGUCAUGCAUUCAUAUAGAGCCUAAAAUAGUUUUAUAAUAGUUUGGCACAAAUAUAUUGAAUUACGUGUCGUGUAUUAUGUAUAGGUGGUGAGCUCUCUGAUAAGGGUAAAGAUAUUGAUAUUGUGCCCGAGGACCAAGAAUAUGAGUACUCCAAACUCCUACUAUUGUGAGUAAUCAGAUGUUCAUCUUAAUUAUCUAAAGUAGUUUAUACUUGUUUUAAUAUUUUAGAGAAUAAGGCACUUAAUUUGCAAAUUAUUAUGUUUUACAUUUUAAAUGUUGGUUAAAUGAAUGAGAUUUAUAAAUUAUUUUGAAACUAAAUGUUGAUUUUCGAAAUAGAGUAAGUGGAGGCUAUAGUUUCGUAUUAUAUAUAUAUAUACAUGAUUUGAAUUGAUGGCUUAUGAAAUUGUGGUAGUAUGAAUGGCUGAAAUUGUGGUUUUGUGAAUUAUAUAAAUUGUUUUGUCUUACAUUGACAGGUUGGAUAGUACUAUAUUAGCCAUGUUAUGCUGCCGAAAUUUUAUUGAUUUAGUGGGUUAUGUAUUUAGCUUACUGCAGUGGAGGGAUUUUCGUGGACCAGCCUAUUAGAAGGGUAUGGUAAACCCCAUUAUAUUUUACCUUAGUAUGAGAGGCAUGGAGGGUAUCUCCUAAGGUAAGUUUAGAGUUCACUUCACGUCGAACCACCACGUAAGGAUGAAACUCAGCCAACGCCAAGGAAUGGCUAUAUUUUAAAAGUAAAAACAUGUUUUAUGGAUAUAUGUCAUUUUAACAUCCUUGGCGGACUCGGUUGGAUGCCCGGGCCAAGGUGUCACUGAGUAUAAGUUUUGGCACAAGCCAAGUUUUUAAGAGAAUCAUAAGCCUUGUUGAUUAGUUUGAUGAAAUGUAAUUGUUUUAUAGGAAUUGAAAUGAGUUUUGAAUGUUAUGAACUAUAUUAUGAUAGGAUGAUUUAACUGUCUCCAUUUACUCGACUUUAGAUGUUAUAGAUGAAUUUUGCUUACUCAUUGAGUUUGUAAAAACUCACCCCUUCUUUUUAUCCAUUUCAGGCUCAGGACAGUCUGUAGACAGUCGAUUUUGUCGAGGGUUGCUUUUGGAUUUGCAUCUUUAGAAAUCGAAGGUCUACAGUCUUGUAUAUUUUCAAUUAUUUUGGGGCUCACAUGUCAUUAUAGAAUAUUUUCGUAUACUUGGUUUAAUGUGCUAUUAUAUAUAUGAAUUUAUUUUGCUCUUACGCUACAAAAAUUGUUUAUGCAGG